This 52364-nucleotide long non-coding RNA is filed under the name Hordeum vulgare. Its description in RNAcentral is "long non-coding RNA (HVUL_LNC006285)". Lineage: Eukaryota; Viridiplantae; Streptophyta; Magnoliopsida; Poales; Poaceae. The record is from RNAcentral.
CUCUCACAGACCACCACCCCUAUCCGCCAAGGCUCGCGCUCUCCGGCGAGGUGCACGCACGGUUGACUUGGGUUGGGUUGUGGGAGCACGAAACCGACACACCACCAACAGCACCACUGUUCCCAAGCUCAAACUCACGCGCUUGGUGUAGACGGGAUACCGUAUAAACCCUCCACACCACACUGUCAUUUCGGAGCAUCAGCAACAACACUAGUCGAGUAAUCCAGCCAAUAAAGCCUCCCCGCCUCCUCUGUGGCCGGAUCAGAAUGUGCUUCGAGUUCGGCUCGUGUUUCGGGGGCGGCAGGACGGACGACUACGGCGGCGAGCGGCCGAACCGCAAGGAGGAGCACGGCCGCGGCCGUCGUGGCCGCGACCGCACGUGGAACCACGUUAGCCACCACAACGGCGGCCCUGCUGACCACAAACCGUUGCCGCACGCCGCAGUCGAUGAGGCCGGACACAAGGCCUACCACGACGGCGCCCGGAAAGCCGACCACGUCGACGUCGGUGCCGGCGGGUACGCCGUCUACCCGCAACUCGAGGCCGGCAUCGAGGCGCCGAAGGUUCCCGCGUGGCACAACAAGGUCGGCGAUGACGCCUACACGGGGCGCCUCCAAGUCCAAGAACCUGCGGCCAUGGAUUACCACCACUACUACCGCUCUAGGCAGGGCAGGUACUAGGUACUCAGAUUAGCUAGUGUCGAGGUCCCUCCCCCUUCUAUCUGAACACCUGCCUCUGCUUCUGCUCGUUAGCUCUCUUUUUUGCCUCUGUUUUUCCUCUGUCUUUGGAUUUUGAUCAGAGCCUCCACGUAUUUGUAGAUGGAUGUUCCAGCUCCAGGAAGCUUCUAUCAGUCGGUCUUUGUAGUUGCUUGUACUUUAGUCGCGGUUGCUUUCAUCUUGUAUCAUAUAAUCAAGUGAAAGAAAGCAUUGUGAAAUCUCUGAUGAGUUCCCAUUUCUGCUCUUGCUAUCCCAGGUCUUCGCUCUCCUUUUUGUAGUCAGGGUUUAAGAUUGUUCUGUUGCAGUAAAUUGAUGCUCCAUUCAUAUAAUUUGUCGUUGAUUUAGUACACAGUUGUACUAAAUAAAAGAUAACUAAUACUCCCUCCGUGGUAGUUUAUAAGUCCGGCACGUGUAUCUAAGUCAUCAAUUUAACCAACUUAAUAAAAGGCAUAUAUUACAAAAAAUAUAUUAUUAGAAAAUUUAGAUGUUCUAUUUUCUAAUGAUAUAAUUUUUAUGUUAAAUAAUAUAUUUUAUAUAAAUUAAAUUAACGACCUAGGUACAUAUGCAUGCCUUAUAAACUGUGAUGGAGGGAGUAUGAAUUGAAGAGACUACCUGAACUUACAAUUCAAUCCGUCUGGUACAUUUGUUAGGAAGAUAUGUAUCAUCCGGGAUCAUCUCUCCCACCAGAAAUAAGCAAAACUCUCGAGAAAUCAUCUCUCCCACUAGAAACAUUUAUGCUAUCUGCCGUGGUUGCCUGUUAUGGCCGCCGCUAUAGCUACUAGGAGAGGUCGCCGCGAAAUCGUUUCUCCCGCCAUUUUAAAUGCACCCACACACUUCAUUUAUCCCCAUUAGUGCUCAUCUAAAUUGGAUAUUUAAUGAAUUUGAUCUUAAAGCUGUCCUAACGUAGUCUUGCUAGUGUUGAACAAUAUUAUAAAGAGACGGGCACACAUUGCCACAUGGGUUCAGCUACCGCCAGGUUAUGAGAACACAAAGUCGAUGCCCACAAAAGUGAUCUAAUUAAUAUACUACCUUCGUCAUGGGUUAAAAGACACAGUUAAAUUUAUGUGUAUUUCCACAAUGGUCAUCAGCUAUUGCAUUGAGGACAGCGAGAUACUUACUGCUGCCAUACUGACCGUUGCCCAUGCUCCCUCUGUGUUCAUGAUAUCCAUGGCCUUGCGAAGUGCUUGUUUUCGAGACAAGAGGAAUUUAGUCAUGGAAUUCUUGUCAUUCUACUAAAUAUUUGUCAAGCAGACAAAGUAACAAGGUUCAUAGUUAACACAGAUUCUUUGGCCGGAAUUUUCAGGGCAAGCCAAGCACAGUCCAGAUCCUGAAGAUGCUACCAAACUUAAGCAAUCGAGCAACAACAGGUAAUGCACUAAUGCAUGAUGGACUGCGUGACCAAUCUACUAGAUGCCCAUUGUCCUUUUUGCGUUCUUCAGACAUCUCCAACGCUGACCCACAAAAUUGCUCCGACAUUUAUACGUACAGAGGGCGGACUAGUCCGUUAAUACAUAUGUCGAAAGUCGUCGUUCAAUGCUGCCCGCGUACAUUUCAACAAGUAAUUAAACUAACUGAAUAAAAUUCGUGCAAACCGAACAGAUUUGAUUUAAGCUUCGGAUAUAAUUCACAUAAAUGGACGUUUUUUGACCGUUUUACUAAAACUAUGAAAAGAACCAAACCCUAUAUCGAGCGACCACCUCGUAAGCAUUGCCACCCUGUCCUACCGCACUGUCAUCGUUGUCCGUGCCAUCCUCCUCGUCGUUGACAAUCUUGUUCGGCGGAUGUCUGCCGCUCCGCCUCCAGUUGCGCGGUGCGGAGGGCCGCCUUCGCAACUAUCGGCAGAGCCCUGACAGUAGCCUUGCCCUUACCAGUGUUGAAGGAGCAGUCAAUAAGGGACAACUUCUCGCCUAUCUUGUCAAUCUCUCCGUCAAGGUGGCGGCGGCGGCGCAUGGUGACUGUCUCCGUGAUGGUUAUGGUGACGGAGUUUUCGAGCGCUUACGCGGCGUCAAGGUCAGGCCGUUGCGGACUCAUUCCGAUGCCACAUUAGUCCUGAGUAAUGCGGAACAGUGAUUGAUAUUGUGCAUGUCGUAGCUAUCAUUUUGCCUCGUCGCGCGCUUCGCCUCCGAAACCACGGUCCAAGAGCCCGAGGUACCCCCGUAACUGCCUCCCCCAAGGUAGUGGAGGAUGCGGCCUCGAGUCUUCGCGACCGUGGGCAUCAGCUCCACUUUACUUGGGUCGCGGUGGCGUCGUGAUGCCGACGAGAGCCAGUCAAUCCAGGCAUAGCUGCUAUGCGGCGAGGGCAACUCCAGCUCAUCCUUCAUGGGUCGGAGGCGCUGAGGAACGCCAGCUCCUGCUUCACACUGACGCCGAUGUGGAAUCCAUGAUUGGCAGCGGGGCCGAUGAAUCGUCCUUCACUUGCAGGAGUGGGGAUGUGGUCUCUCACCUCACACAGAGGCACGGCAAGGACGGUGGCAUCGGGUCCAUCUGAUGGCCCAAUUUGUCGUCCAUCAUAACCUCCUCUGAGAGAAGACGAUGCUGCUGAUGCGGCAGGUCUUCCUCAUCACUAGAGGAGAUGACUUGCUCCUCCUUGCUGGAGGAGCCUGUCGUCAUGGAUGUCGAUAGUCCCGGAGAGCAAGUACGACGAUGCGACAAUCUGCAUGAAGAGAAAAUCCCACCGGGGUUGCAUGCUGGCGCGGAGAACCAAGACUUCAGCAUCGCCGCUGGGCUCGGGAGGAGGAACGGCUCGACGUGUGAGGGAGGAAAAGGACAGUGUUCGGGAAGCAGGAGUGCGGCUAUGUGCGUUACCGACACAUGGCUUACAUAACCGCGGCUAGGCCAGUGAAGGGGUGGUCAUCCCACUUCAAUGCGGCGCACCAGCCGAAGUUGUUCUUGGGACGUGAUGUCGACAUUGAAGCAGCGAGGCCCGACGGGACGUCUGGGCCGCCCUCCCAUCCAUUGAAAUUAGGGCAUCAAUUCCGGCCAUUACAUGCUCUCGACCAACAUGAAUGAGACACGGCAAGUGGCGUAAGCGUUCCAUGGAAAGCGCGGGACAGGUGUGUGGCAUUUUUUUGUGGGAUAGGCCAAUCAGGAGCGGCCAUGGUAGCGGUCCGGACGCCGCAAAGCCACCCCCAACCCCACCACAAUUUGUCUCUCGUUUGCUCGGAAGAACACGUCCAUGCCAUUUUGCGAAUGUGAAAGUUGAUAUAGUAGAUGCACUUAUAGAAUCGAUACAAAUCUGCGUUGGAUAACACAACACAUCCGGACCACAUAGUCUAAACGUAUGCGGGUAGUUCUAUGGUCGGCGUUGAAGAUGCCCUUGAGGCGAAUAUUUUGGUUUUCAAAAUAUUCAACUGUUCAUUGGAGUGGGUCAUGAGUCCUAGAAUGGCCGAGACCGAAAGUUUAACAGUCUAUACAUUGUUCAUCAAUUUGAACAUGCUUUUUCAUGGAAGACCAUUGACCUGGACUGUGACUAGUGCCAGAGUUACUAUGAUAAUUGCUGCAGCUCUCUGAUAGUAAGGGUCGCGACUUAUUUUUAGUUUACGGACCAAUUCAAAAAAAAAAAAAAAACAAGCACACCAUGUCAUCCGUUCCUCCCAAUUUUGUUUAUGUAAAACUCUAAUUUACCAAUCUUAAAGCCGAAGCAGGAAAUGGCAUCAUCAACUCCAUGAAAAUAAAUUAAAAUUGACCUAAAAAAUUUAUGAGCCACAUACCGGCCAGGAAAAAAGAAAGAAAGCACAUGAUCUGGCACGUGGGCGUAGGUGAGUGCAUUACUAGGUAUAUAUGAAAAAACAAAUGGAGACAAUAACAUGCCCUUUGCUGCUGCUUUCCAUAUGCCACUGCCUUUAUUCUCCUACAAGUCUGGUGGCAUCUGCUGCUCUCUCCCUCCUCUACUAAUUGGAGAUGCCGAAAUGAUUGUUCAGCCACACCAUGAUAUGCUUGAACAGAAAGAAACCAAAGGGUGCAUUUUUUGGUAGAAAAGAGGUAGCCGGGAAUGGAUUGGGGACAAAUUGCAAGGUGCCACCAAGGAUGGACAUGAAUGAGCACAAAAAAGUUAGUUAGAUCUCAGUCUCAAGUCAAUUGUCCACUGAAGGUCCUAAUUAUUGUAGAUUGUAGAUUGAUGCCACCAAGUGGUUAAUUUUUAGUUUUCGCCCGCCCAAGAUCUUGAUUAGUGAUCCUAUGUAAAUAAGAUCAUCUGUUGUGGAGAUCGAACAAUUUGAUUUUCCAUGAUGGAGAUUUCUUUGCAUAUUCCAUGCAGCAUGGAUUGGAUCAAAUUGUGGGUAGGGAUCGCCUGAGCCAAACUAGAAAAGGCUGGAGCAAUAUUCGGCAAAAUCGAUGCUGUCACUAUAAAUAGUGUAGUGCUUUCCGAGCUCUCCUUCAGUAGUUAAUUUACUACUCAAACUUUUUCAGUUAUUAUCAGAAAGUAUUUUUAAGCCCCGGCAUAAAGCACACAUUGUGGAUAUGUACUGUAAAUGCUUGUGGCCACAAUUAAACUUAUGGAGUCACAAGUAGGAUACAGGUACUGGUAGGGCAUCUAUUAUAGUUAUGUUAGUUAGUUUGUAAUGAAAAGUAAUGUCAUACGCCCGUACUUCUCCAAGGUCACUUGCCAAAAGGAAAUACUUUUUUUACAAAAGCACCCAUCUAACUAACUUGUGUACAUGCACUAGGAAUGAUUCUUAUUGGCACAAGUGUUCGUAGGAUAUCGUGUUUUGGUCGAUGAAUAAAGCUCCAUCAUCAAUCCUAACAAUUCUCAAGUUGCUUUUUAUUUUCUCGUGCAAGAUGUCGAAUAUAAAUCCUAACAAUAUAGAAUCAUGCAAGUGGAGUUCUUAUGAUGGAGAUUUAUGUUGUAAAGUUCUGCACAGGAGAAUUCAGAUCAAACUCCACCUACUGAUUGCCCCGGCCUAACAAGGGAAAGCUGUAAAAUCCUGAAAUAGCUAGUACUUUUUUAGAACAUGGUAGAACGAUUACUCUCAAGGAGUAAAUGUUUAAUGCUUUCUUAAAGUGUAAUUUACAAAUCUAUAUCAGCUAAUUAAAGAUCGUACAAGUAAAGCUCGUAAAAGACAAACACAUUUUAUAAACUUUCAAGCUUUUACAAUCAUGUUAACUAAAAAAACAUGUGGGAACUAUUAAAAGUUAUGGAACUAUAACCAUUUUCAUUGAUUAUGCAAGUUUCACUAAAUCAUAUGGUAGUUAGUGAUGCAGUCAUGCGGAAUUAAGUUAUACUACCCGACUUUUUUGGCAUAAGUGCUUUUUUCAAAAAGGAGAGUGCCCUAGCCUCUCCAUCACAAGAUGCACACAACCAUUUUUAUUAAACUUGAAACAAGUCAAGUCACCGAGUGCCAGUAAAUAGGACAAAUAAAGAGAAAACACGACCACAACCGGUCAUAUUAGAGUUUACAUAGCUCAUCCACAUAAUGAACGAGUCCUCGCCAGUCAAAACCGUAGAAUAAACCUGCGCAACCAUUUCCAGUCUAAUCCACCCAAAGGCCAGAAGUGCUUGCAAGUCCACAUGCUGCAGUGAUGACCACAUACGGAUUAAAGUUAUAUCCCAGUAGAUAAUGUGCAAGAAAUUAGGAGUAGAGGAUCAGCUAAAAACAAAGUCAUUCUGGAUUAAAUGUUGCCGAGAGAAUGGCACAAACUCCAACACGGAUUUGGCCAUUCAACUUGUGAUGAAUACAACCCAGCCAAUUCACACACAAAUUUGAAAUACUCAUUGGUGUUGCUUAAUUAUAAGUGACAUGAAUUGUGCAGUUGAUCAAGGUAGUAAUUCGAUUUUUAAUGAAUUCGAUAUUAAACUGCCCUAACGUAUUCUUGUUAGAAUUAAUCCGAGGCACUUCGUCGAUCUACCGAGGACCAAGCAAUCACACAAGCACGACUCCGAGAUUUGUUAACGAGGUUCAUCGAUAUGGCUACAUCCCCGGGGCAUGACUAUGGACGCUCCUCCCCAUGACACCGUCACAAUACCGCACCUCGACAGCCCGGGCGCCGGCACACGCCGCCGGCUCCUCCGCGUACCAGUGCUACUAUGUUGGCAUAGGUUACAUCGUGUGUCUACCCCGCUAUAUAUGAGAGGCCUAGGAUACAAGUGUCUUAUCAGGACACGACCCCAUAUCCUGUCUAAACACAAUACUACUCAGAGUCCAACUGUAACCUACCGUGUACACAAUAUUCGACACAACUCUAACAAACUCCACCUUGGUGAAUAUUCUCCACCAUCUUGAAUUCGUCUAUGCGUCAAACUUCCAUGUACAUUGGACUUGAGCUUAUCUAUGAGCACCGCUGCUACUCCAAAGACUUCAUGUGACUCCACCUUCAACUUGUAGUUCCUUCUUUUUCAGACCAUAGUCAACGCUCGAAUGAAAUUAAGCUCCACAUUACUCUAGCUGAGCUCCCAACUUCUAGAGUAUCCAACACCAUCACACACCGAUCACUGACCUGCGUGAAAGUGAACAACUCAUAUUGGGUGUCGCAGAUAAGAGUUACCUGAACUCAACAUCAUCGCUCUUCCUUGACCGCCCGUCUGAAACUUGAAGGAAUUUCACCAUUGCUUCUAGUCAUCCCGAGUCAAAUUCGCAGUUGCCUCACCACAUGUAUGACCACCAGAGCCCUGGCCUAUCUCCAUGUCCCGUGCGUAUCGCACGCCUCUCCGCUAUUACCGCAUCGACCCUCCGCUGUUCCGGUCGAGUCUCAAGGGUCGCGAACCCACACCGCUCAACCCCCACUGCAGAGUACCACCGAUCAUCACCGACCGAUGACGAGUUUCACGCUUCCAUCAGACCACUGGGCUCCAGUCCAAAUUGCGUGUCACUCGCUUUUCCCGCUGAAUAGGCUGCGAUCUCCGGAUCCUUACACCGUAGCCUCUCAAUCCAGCUCCACCUUCAACAUGAUUCCAUGCUAGAUGAUCAGUCCACCCCGCGCCCCGUCGACUUCAAGCUCCGUGUGUACACCACCUUGAAUCAACCCCGCGCUAUAGUCUUGUCGAAGCCACACAAGCCCUAGAGCCCGCGCCGCGUGUUUCCAUGCCCAGAAGUCGGUCACCAUCAGCAUCACGCUCCUAUGUCGUCGUUGCCGAUCCCACCACCGUCUUCUGCUUUGACCGACAUCCCCGUCGAUCCGUCAGACUAACUAGUCCAACCAAGCCGACCUUAUCCGGCUAAACGACCCGCUCCAGGCUUCCAGAUCAUAUUCCACGAAUUUUCAGCCAUCGCAUGAUAAUUCCAUCUUAGCUGACGUGACUUUCCGCAGCACCUUCAAGCAUCCCUGUUGUGCCACUUGAACUUCUCACGAUGCAAUAGUACAUGAAGCAAACCGCGUCGUCACCUCCCAGUACUAAUAGCAAUUUAACCAAACAAUUGUUGCUUUCACGUGGUGCAACUUCUAGGCUCAACUCACCGAUGCUCAGUAUUUGCUUUGUCCCGUCCCUGCCUUCCAACGAAUGCACAUCAAUCGAUGGAUUUUUUUUCCGCUGAAUCGAUCUGCUGCCUGUUUUUGUUUCCAAAACAAUCCCGUUUUUGGUUUUGCAUACCGUACAUGAGCUGUCCAAUCGAGCGCAUGAUCUGCCUGCAGCCUUGUACGCUCCUGGGUCGCUGCCCACGCGGGCUCCCGCAGUCAGUGUCGUCGGUCGAUCGACCUGCUGUCUGCCUGCCCCGUGAGCGGCGCGUCGCCGCUGCUUCAUGUACGCUCGCCCGAUCUUAUCACGCACGUCGCGUCUCUCUGACCUUGCUUCUUGAAUCUCGCCGACCUGUGCUGCUUGAGAAAAUUUCAUCGAUCCUCUUAGCUUUUCCGUCGACUACCACGAGAUCGUUCCCGGUCGCGUGACACGCCAUGGAUCGAACUAAUUUCUUUCGCAGACUUCGGCAUCAUCACCUCUAGAUCAACGACCACAAUCUCAAAUCGAACCUUGGCUCUGAUAUCACUUGUUAGAAUUAAUCCAAGGCACUUCGUCGAUCAAGGACCAAGCAAUCACACAAGGACGACUCCGAGAUUUGUUAACGAGGUUCAUCGAUAUGGCUACAUCUCCGGGGCAUGACUACGGUCGUUCCUCCCCGUGACACCGUCACAAUACCGCACCUCGACAGCCCGGGCGCCGGCACACGCCGCCGGCUCCCCCGCGUACCUGUGCUACUAUGUUGGCAUAGGUUACAUCGUGUCUACCCCGUUAUAUAUGAGAGGCCUAGGAUACAAGUGUCCUAUCAGGGCACGACCCCAUAUCCUGUCUAAACACAAUACUACUCAGACUCCAACUGUAACCUACCGUGUACACAAUAUUCGACACAAUUCUAACAAUUCUUGCUCGCGUUGAAGAAUAUUAUAAAGAGACGGUACCAUAUGAAUCUAAUUAAUAACCCGAUCAAACACAGUGUGUUUAUGUUUAUGUUUGUAGCAUCUAUGCCACAUGAGUUCAGCUACCGCCAGGUCACCAGAACAGCAAGUCUGGUUCCUGAUAAAUGAUGUAAUUAAUAUUUGAGACCCCGUACCAAUUGCUACAUCCAACAUCAUUAAAAGGGGACCUGUUUAUUGCCUAUACCAAUAGCUAUAUGAAUGCACUCGCAUCACCCAUAUUCUGAAGCUCACUGGUAGUUUUGUAUCGUGACCAAUUUUUACCUUUAUGAUCGGUUAAAUAGAAGAAAUCAAUAGUCCAAUUUCUGAAAAUACUGGGAUGGAGUUUCAUCUUGGACUCUAGAUGUAGGAGUCAGAGGCACCAGGAAGUUAGAUCCUGCUACGAGGAGCGGACCGGGAAUGCUCGUCCGGCUAUGAUGGAUUUGGACUGAAGCGGAGCUGAGUAGUCUCUCGUGGGUGAGGACGACAUAUGCUCCUGGGCUACUGCCUACUCGUCUAUUGGUCUGUUGGCCUCGGGUGGGCUGCUGCUUACUCUUUCAAGCAUGUACCAGCAUUUUUAGUCAUAUAUGUGUAUGUAUGAUAUGUUUUAGAAUCAUUUUCAGUUAUAUAUGUGUAUGUACGAUAUGUUUUAUAAAAAAUUAACGAAAAAGGAUUUUUCCCCGCUUUGUAUUACAAAGCAAUCAACCAGAACAUCAAAUGACCCCCCUAUCUCUCUUGGGCCUUUGUUAGUAACGUGAAGAAUCAGCCCAUCUGCUCAUAGUCCAUUGGCUACAGGCACAAAAUCCACAAACUGCCCAGCCUAAUCCACGAACUGGCCAUAUCCAGGAAUACCUUUGUUAGUUGCAGAACGGAGCCACGAUUACGCAGUACGUACGCACAUAUUGUCGCCUCGUUUCCAAGCUGCCGCUACGAUCGAGACGGAUGCCUAUUUCGAUCGGAUCUCUCAUCUCUCCAUCGCGCAUCUAUAGAGUAGCAUAGAAGGGAAGCGGAUGCCGCCACGUGGGACAUGCUGGUGUUGAACUAUUGAUGCACGGAGAUGAUGCCGUUUGCCAGCAGAUCGGGCACACGGAUGAGCAGCAAGCCAGCAACAACAUAAGGGGAGAAGGUAGUUGAUUUUCACAUCAGAUUAGUUGGUGCCUUUAGAAAGUACUAUAGAAGUAUAAUCACACAGACUAUAGUCAUUAAGAACAACUAAGGUAGGUUCAAACAAGGGGAUGAGGUAGUUGAUUUUCACAUUCUCACAUUCCCAUUUAUUUACUUCUGCUUAUGUAAACAUCAUGAAGAAGAACAAGAGCAGAAUUAAUUCAUAUUUUUUCAAACCAGUAGGUUCAAACUCUCAGCCAUCAAAACCAGGGACGGAUUCAUGGGGUCAAAGGGGUGCCAGUCUCCCUAUAACACUCUUCUUUAUUUGCUUCCACAUAAUCGCAUGCUUUUCCCAGUUAUGGUUUUGGGACUGAGUUAAAUCAGUGAGGUCCAUCUCCCCGAUUCCAAAAAUAAUAAUGAGAUAAGGUAAUGUAUUAUAUACCCAUGUUACAUUACUACAAAUUAUUAUUUCAUGAAAUCAUCUUGUGUUUCUAGCGUUGUGAGUUUAUUUUGUCAUUUAUCAAUUUUAUUUAUGUUUUGAUCAUGUGAUUGCAAUGAGUAAAGAAGAAAGGGCAUGUUUGCACCAUUCCAUCUCCAUUAGACCAUACCCUAAGAUUUUUUUUACAACAUAGCCGUUGCUCAUGAGACUUUGUUACAACAUAGCCGUUGCUCCGUCCCUGCUAUUUGCUCAACAUCGAACCAGGUUAUAAAUAUGUAUAUUAUUUUCUUUCAAAGAAAGAUUCACCCUGAUAUCCAUUAGAAGAAGCAAGAAUUGGGUACAAUGUCUCGAGAUGAAUUUGUAUUACGAAAUGCUUUUUUUAACAAGCGGCACUUAUGUUUCUGACGCCAUAAUUGAUGUUUUUUUCCUGGAGUGUAAUGAGAUCAUGCCUCCACUGAAGGUUAAAAUAUUUUUUUGAACGGUAUGAGUUGCAUGUAUUAAUUAUGGUCUGAAAACGAUAUGUGUCAUGGUCUUCCCUGAAAAGCAUGUGCAAAUGUAGAAAAUGUGAAACUAAUAUUUUUCAAUACAUUCUCAUAUCAUGAGUCAUGAAUACGUCCGGUGAAUUAAUUGAUUAUUCACAUAACCAAAAUAUCUCCCUGAAAACAGAGCAUUGGAAAAUAGAACUAUCAAUGGCUUAGUUUGCUUGAUUACAAAGCUGUCUGAGGCGAGCCAAAAUGGUCAAAGCUGAGCUCUAGGUCACCUCACGACAAUUCGAACUGAACCUGGUUUCAUACGUUGCCAUCACCUUUUGCAACCGAUAAUGAAACACUACCAUUUUCAAACACAUUCUGUUUUUCAGGAUUUUACAACUUACCCUAGGUCGGGCCGUGCAAUGACUACGCAGCAUUUGAUCCAUACCCUCAUUCAUAGAAUAAACAAGAGGAAUCUUCAUCAUAAGAAAUCUGAUUGCUAGAUCUGCCAGGGAAAUGAUCUUACUCUCACAGGAUUUAAGAUCGAAAUCUUGCACAAGAGAAACAAAAGGCAACUUACGAAUUGUUAAGAUUGAUGAUCUUUUCUCCUGUGAACACUUGUGCCAAUAACAAUCGUUCUUAGAUCAUGUACACAAUUGCUCAUUUAGAUGUGUACUUUGGUAAAGAAAUGAUUUUCUUUUGGCAUGUGAACUUGGAGAAGUGUGGAUGUACAACAUAACUUUUCAUUACAAACUAACUAUCAUAACUAUAGUAGAUGCACUAUAAGAACAUAUAUCAUUUGUAUCCUACUAGCGGUUCCAUAAUUUUAAUCGUGGUUACAAGCUUUGAUAGUACAUAUAGACAAAGUGUGCUUUUAUGUUAGGGGCUUAAAAAAUACCCUUUGAGAAUAACUGCAAAAGUUUAUGUAAUAAAUUAAUUAACUUAAGAGCUCAGAAAGAACUAUACACUAUUUCAAUAACGGACAUCUUGUCUUUUGUGGAAUAUUGCUCCAGCCUUUUCUAGUUUGGCUAAGGCGAUCGCUACCCACAAUUCAAUCCAAUUUGUGCUGCGUGGAAUAUACGAAAGAAAACUCCAUCAUGAAAAAUCCAAUUUACAUAGGAUUAACGAUUAACAUGUUUGCUGAGCAAUAACAAUAAAUUGCUCAUGCCCUAACAAUCGGCACAAUAAAUUUCUCCAUGUAGGUCAUUAUAGCCUAUAAAAGGUCCCCGUCUCUUAUAUUUCACGUGCUUCAUGGACGUACACUCUCUAAUGCAGCGAAGCGGGAAACAAAUGAAUCUGAUUGCAAAAUUUUCUCCUCAAUAAGAAAUAUUGGAGCAUGUAUAAUUAAUCAACAAGAAAACAGCUCGAGAACACAAGCUAUUUAAAGAAAUACUGGGCAAUGUUCGGGCCAAUUUCUCCGGCAAUAUACAAAUGAAAUCUUCAUUAAGAAAUCCAACUACUAUAUCUCCCACGGGAAGUGACCAUAUUUUUAUAGGAUUUAUAAUUAACAUCUUUCACGAACAAACUAAAAAGGAACUUGGAGAUAGAUUUGAGAUACAUGAUGGGAUAUAUCAUGUGAACACUUAUCAACACGUGGGGCGGCAAACGGAAAAAAGGGAUCGCUCCGACGACGUGCCCCGCAGACGCGUCACGGAGGUUACCCAGCCGCAGCCGGAGAAGCGUCUCCUCAUCCAUCAUCUACCCUCGCCGCGGGUCCGCACCGCCAGGCAAAGCCUAACUGGAGCUGGCGGCGGCGGUGCCCUCUCUCGUCUCCGUAUAUGGGGGCUCGGCGUGGGACGACGAUCCCGAGCGGAGGCACGGAGCUGGUCUAGGGCACGGUGGCGCUGGGCAAAGCUCGGAGGCGGCCGCUCUUCGGUUCUUCGUCCCUGUCGUGGAGGGAUAGUCGCGGCGACAACUCUCUCCUAGGUUGGCGGCGGUCAACGGCGGCACUGCCUAGAUCCGGACCGUCGGGACCCACUGGAGUCCUGCGGUGCUCUGCCAUGUUGUUGAUCGUACUCCAAAACUUUGUUUUGCUUCAUGUCGACCUCCUUGAUCUGGACACCGAUGGGUUCUGGUCUUUCCUUCAGAGCUCUCAGCUUCUGGGGCAUGGCACCAUUGGAUAUCUAGAUCAUAAUUGAUCCGGUCGGAUGUGCCCUUAUCUUCGGCUAGAGAGGUUUCAUGAUGACGUGGCGCGAAGCUUUGCUGCCUUGCCAGUGUCAUGGGACAUGUCUAAGUAUAGAUUUCCACGACAUUGAUAAUGAUGAAAAAAGUCACGAUGGCUGCGAUCGGAGGUUUGUAACGGCAGAGAGGAGUUUUUGUUGCGUUGAAGAUUGGCGACACAUGUUUUUUCAUGUGUGUCAUGUGUUGAAUACUUGCAGUGGUGGUCCUGGCUAGAGGGGGCGGCAACUCAGGUGGACAACAUUUUUCGGGAUGCUUCACGAGUACCAAGGUCUGACCUUCAUUGGUUGUACCUGGCAAAAGUCUUGCCAAGACAUUGUUUUAGGGAUCUUGGACUCUCUCCAUGGUGAAAACUCAAGAUCCUUGAUCGGACGAUGACAACGCUUGUGCAUUGUUUCUUUCUUGGAGGUAUCGCUUCUGGAGAACCUCUUUUGUAGUCUGGUUGUUGUCCUUGGUGGUGAUUAGAGUGUUUUUGUUGUGAGUGUUUCACCGCUGCAACGUGGUCUUUGUUUUUUAUUUCUCUCUUUUCUAUUUUCGUUUUUGGCUGUGUGCAUCUUUAAUGUCUUUCGAUAUCUUGUGGGUGCAUAGGCUGGAUGCAAAUGAUAUCUUCGUAAUAUUAAUAUAUUCCCUCUGUCGAAAAUGAGAACACUUGUCCUAGUAAAAACUGUUCUCAGAGCAUGCACAUAGGUGCUUAAUUAGAUAAGUGCAUGUGUUAAAAAUGUAGUCCUUAUGUCAUGUGUGUUUGUGAAACUAGGGGUGUACAACUGAACUUAUUACUAACUACCAUAUCUUAUGAAGAAACAUAGAUACACCAUCAAAAUAGUGAUCACCAUAUCCUACUAGCGACAAAUAUUGACAAGAUGAUUGCUUCAGACUCAUUAAUGUAUUUUUUUGAAAGGUUUUGUGAAUAAUCAAUAAUAUAGUUGCAAGUAUCGACUAGAUGCAGAAGCCGGGGGUCAUCCUCUUUUUUCUUAAGAAACAUAUCUUACUAGUGGUUCCAUUAUUUUAAUACUGCUCACAUAUUUUUAUAGUACACGGACCAUUGUAAAAUAGCAGAAAACUUUCAACAUGUCUCCUUUUGUGGCCAUUAAUUAGGUGGUGUACGUAUACAUAAAGCUUCAUUAACUGAAGAAGUUUGUGUACUAGUUAAUUAACGGAAGAGGAGCUCAUAAAGCACUACACUAUUUUAAACAAAGGGACAAUUUCUCUUUGGAGAAUAUUACUCCCUCCGUUCCACAAUAUAAGUCUUCUUAGAUAUUUCACUAGAGGACUAUAUACGGAUGUAUAUAGACAUACUUUAGAGUGUAGAUUCACUCAUUUUGCUUUGUAUGUAGUCUCUUAAUGAAAUCGCUUAAAAGACUUAUAUUUAGAAACGGAGGGAGUACACCAAACGUUUCUAGUGUAGCCCAGGCAAUUGCUACUCAAAAUUCAGUCAUAUUUCUCCCGCGCCGAAUAUUAAAAAAAAAUCUUCAUCAUGGAAAAACCAAUUGUUCCAUCUCGACAGGAGAUAACCUUAUUUACAUAGGACUACCGGUUAAGAGUUUGACCGAGUACAACAGAAAUUAACUAAUUGAUACUACAUUUUUUUUAAAAGGAGGAACGAGCCCCCGGCCUCUGCAUCAAUCGAUGCAUGCAGCCAUAUUAUUAAAUAUCCAAAGUAACAAGAUAGUUCGAGACAAGCCUGAAGGCUGAAGAUAAAAUGCUAAACAAACUCUUAAGAAGUACACUCCUCCGGCGUAACUAAUAACAGACUACGAUGCCUAUACACCUAGUCUAUUACUAACACGCCAUCCAAACCGGUUGAAGAUAACCCGUGCGGCCGUCUCCCACCGGUUGCACCCAGUACCCAUAAGCUCCCUGUUGUCCACAAGACUGAGUGAUGACCACGUACGGAUCCAAGACGUUGCUCUGAAAAUGACCUGCAAAAAAUUGUUGAAUUUCUGACCAUUAAAUAUUAUGUCGUUUCUGGUAUUCCAUAUAGCCCACAAAAGAGCACAUAUCCCUAUUCUAAUAAGUCUAGAUAAUUGAACGUCCACUCCAUUGAGCCACGUUGUAAACAUUGAAUUGAUGCAUGUAGGUGGGAUCAUAUUAAAUGCUAUGUGGAUAGUGCGCCAAAGUAAUUUUGCGAGGGGACAAUCCAAAAACAGGUGUCUGAUAGUUUCAUUUUGAUCACAAUAACAGCAAUUGGAUCUACCUCUCCAACUACGCUUAAUUAAAUUAUCUUUGGUUAAUACCACACCUUUGUGUAAAAACCACAUAAAUUUUUUUAUCUUUAACGGCACCUUAAUAUCCCAGAUAUGCAACGAUCUAGCUAAGGGUCCGGAAUUCACCAAAUCUGUGUACAUGGAUUUAACUGAAAGUACCCCAUUAACAGUUAAAGUCCAUCUAACACUGUCCGACUGAUCAGAUAGUUGUACCUGCAUAAGUCUUCUUACGAGAUGCAUCCAUGCCUCCCAACGUGCGCCUACUAGAGCGCGCCUGAAGUGCAUGUUUAUAGGUAUCGAUUGUAAGACUGUGGACACAUAGUCUUGCUUACGUUGCGUAAUGUUGUAGAGCAUGGGAUAUUGUAAAGUAAGUGGAGAAUCCCCAAGCCAAGUAUCUUUCCAAAAUCUUGUUGAGGUACCAUCCCCUGUAAUAAAUUUCACCCUCUUAAAGAAAUUAAUCUUUAUCCUCAUUAACCCUUUCCAGAAAGGUGAGUCAUUGUGUCUAAUUAUAGCUUGAGCUAGAGUUCUUGAUGUAAGAUACUUAUUUCUCAAAAUUUGAAUCCACAUACCCUCUAUCUCUGUGGAAAUUCUAUAUAACCAUUUGCUGAGCAGACAUUUGUUCUUUACUUCUAAAUUUUCAAUGCCCAAACCCCCCUGGUCUUUGGGUCUACAAAUCAUAUCCCAGCGUGCUAAUGUGUAUUUUUUCUUAUUCUCAUCAUUUUGCCAAAAAAACGAGAUCUAUAAAAAUCCAGUCUUUUCCGUACCCCUACAGGUAUCUCGAAAAAAGACAAAAGAAACAUUGGUAGGCUUGUUAAAACAGAAUUUAUUAAUACCAAUCUUCCUCCAUAUGACAUAAGCUUGCCCUUCCAGCAGCUUAGUUUCUUUUCAAACCUUUCUUCAAUACAUUUCCAUUCUUUAAUUGUUAACCGUCUGUGGUGAAUAGGUACCCCAAGAUAACUAAAAGGUAGAGAACCCAUCUCACAACCAAAUAGCUGUCGAUAAGCGUGUUGCUCUUCUCUUGCCUUCCUAAAACAUAAGAGUUCGCUUUUGUUAAAAUUAAUUUUCAACCCCGAUAGUUGUUCAAAAAGACAUAAAAUUAAUUUCAUAUUCCUCGCUUUCUCCAUGUCAUGUUCCAUGAAAAUGAUUGUAUCAUCCGCAUAUUGUAGAAUGGACACACCUCCAUCUACGAGAUGUGGAAUGAGACCACCUACUUGUCCUUUCUCUUUGGCUCUUUCAAUAAGUAUUGUCAACAUGUCUGCUACUAUAUUAAAGAGUAUUGGAGACAUUGAAUCCCCCUGUCUUAGCCCCUUAUGUGUUUGAAAAAAAUUGGCAAUGUCAUCAUUAACUUUGACUCCGACACUCCCUUUCUGAAUAAACGUGUCAACCUGCUGUCUCCACUUUUCAUUAAACCCUUUCAUUCGUAAGGCUUGCUGAAGAAAGGACCACUUAACUUUAUCAUAAGCCUUUUCAAAAUCCACUUUAAAUAUAACUCCAUCUAGUUUCUUUGUGUGGAUUUCAUGAAGCGUUUCGUGCAAAACAACAACACCCUCCAAAAUGUGUCGCCCAGGCAUGAACGCUGACUGUGUUGGUUGGACAAUUGAAUCGGCUAUCUUUGUUAAUCUAUUGGUGGCUGUCUUAGUGAAAAUCUUGAAACUAACAUUUAGUAAACAGAUAGGUCUAAAUUGUUGGAUACGCAUGGCAUCCACAUUUUUUGGCAACAACGUUAUUGUUCCAAAGUUAAGGUGAAACAGCUGUAACCGACCAUUAAAUAAGUCAUGAAACAUAGCCAUUAGAUCCCCCUUAAUAACAUGCCAACACUUUUUGUAAAAUUCUGCAGGAAACCCAUCUGGUCCCGGUGCUUUAUUGUGUUUCAUUUGUACUAUUGCCUCAUAUACCUCUUGCUCUGUGAAUCUAGCGGAUAGAACCUCAUUCUCCUGCUCAUUUAGUUGAGGAAUAUCCUGAACAUUGGUUUCAUCCAGAUAGAUCAUAUUCUCCUCUGGUGCACCAAAGAGACUCCUAUAAUAUUCUGAAAUAUAUACCUUUAGAUUUUCAUGUCCUAUUAUAGUUCCCUCUUCUUGCUCUAGCUGAGUAAUAAUCUUCUUUCGAUGUUUGCCAUUCGCAAUCAUGUGAAAGAACUUAGUAUUAUCAUCCCCAUGAACCACGUUCAUCACCUUAGCUCUUAGUGCCCAUUUCAUCUCCUCUUCUCUCAAUAAUUUUUGCAAUCUAAUCUCAGCAUCUGUUUUGGUAUUCCUAUCAAUAGAAUUUAGUUGCGCUGACUCAGCUUUGACGUCAAGUUCAUCAAUCAGCUUCGUUAGUCUUUCUUUUUCUUUCUUAUAAAUACCACUUUGAUUUUUCGCCCAUCCUCUAAGAACUCGGCGCAAAUUUCUAAUCUUGUUUUGCCAAAUUUCGACAUUGGUGGAUCCACCUAAGUGUGUACCCCAUUCCCUUGUAAUUAGGUCCAUGAACCCUUCUCUUUCAAACCAGCUUAGUUCGAACGAGAAUACAUUCUUGUUGCCCCUAUGAUUGGCCUCCCCUGAGUCAACUAGAAGAGGUGUGUGAUCUGAGAUUGCCCUCUGUAAUGCUUGUACCGUGACUAAUGGGUAUUUUUGUUCCCACUCAACACUAGUAAGAACCCGAUCCAACUUUUCAUAUGUUGGUAUCGGUAAAGAAUUUGCCCAAGUGUAUUGUCUACCAGAGAGAUGAAUCUCCCUUAGGUUUAGACUCUCAAUAACCAUAUUAAACAUUGUUGACCAUCGUGUAUCGAAGUUGUCGUUAUUUUUUUCGUCCUGUCUACGAAUGAUAUUAAAAUCUCCCCCCACCAUAAUUGGUAGUGUUUCAUCUCCACAGAUUCUCACUAGAUCUGCAAGAAAAUCAGGCUUGAACUCCAAUUGCGCCGCCCCAUAGACAGCAACUAGAGUCCACUUAAAACCAUCAGCUUUCGACCUUACACGAAAUUUGACGGCGAACUCACCAUAAACCACACUCAUCACUUCUAGAGUUUCGCAUUUAACCCCAAGUAAGAUCCCACCUGAUCCUCCCCUUGGUGGUAAACAAUGCCAAUCAAAAUCAACCCCUCCUAAUAAACUAUUUAAAAAUUGGGUUGUGAAAUUAUCCCUCCCAGUUUCUUGUAAAGCCAUGAAAUCCAGUUUAUAUUGUAUCGAUGCUUCUCUAAGGAACCUUUUUUUAGCCAAGUCCGCGAGACCUCUGCUAUUCCAAAAAAUCUCUUUCAUAUUUCAUCAUGAAAUUUUUUCUUUUGUUUAACUCUCGCACUCCUCCUAAUCGCUGAUUCAGGAUACACCUUCCUUUUCCAAGGUCUCCUCGUUAUUUCGUGAAUACUUUUAAAAUCAUUAUGUGUAUCUAAAGGUUGUGGAUGAUUAUUCACAUCUGAAGAGGCCAUAUACCCCUCCAAACCCAUAUCAUCCACGUCGUCUACUUCCCCGUCUAUAUGAAAAAUGUUAUCACAUAGAGUUUGAAGUCCAGCACCUCCUAAGUCACUCAUAUCCGAAUCAUUCAUAGGUUUAACCGCUGCUAGAUUAUUGAUAAACUCUAUUGUUCUGUCCACUUCUAAAUCAAGAAUAUCAUUGAUGGAUUUAGCUAUAUUUUUACUAGUCGUACCCAUAGAAACUCCUAUGUCACUAGCAUUAUUCAAGAUUUCAGAUUCGGAUAAUUUUAAAAUAGAUGCAGUUUGAUCAAUAGACAAACCUGAAUUUUUUUCAGCAUCUCGUAGUUUUGCAGCUCGCAUGGCACGCCCUAUCGACAUCUCAUCAGCAUCAGGCUUCUCCUGGAUGCGUUGACUGAAACGUCUAUGACAUGAAGCAGGAUCCGGGAUCCCCCCAAAUGAGAUCACAUCAUCAUUAGUAAUCUCAUUGUGGGUCUUCCCUGUUAGCAUAGAAUCAACAUGCUGGUGAGAAAGUGUUCCUUCAACAAUGUUAUCGUACUUAGAAGAUAUAUUUUGCUGCUUACUGUUGGCGAAGCUAUGAGGAGAUACAGGAGUAGAAGGCCGACUUGCCUCCUUCUUGCUAUCCCGCAUGAUCGAAGUGACAUCCCUGUCAGUAGGGAAUGUCUUAGAAAUUGGACAGCAGUCCUGCUGCGUCAUAUGCAUAGGCUCAGCCCUCCUAGGCGGCUGUACUGCCAAGGAUGUUUUCCUGAUCUCCUUAGUAAUCAAAUUCGUGUCUUCUUCCAGCCUAGAUGUAUGCAUAGGCUCAGCCCUCCUAGGCGGCUGUACUGCCGAGGAUGUUUUCCUGAUCUCCUUAGUAAUCAAAUGCUUGGCUUCUUCCAGCCUAGAUGUGGAAACCGAUCUUUGGAUUGACACAAAAGGAGGUUGCUCAUUCGCCUCGUUUUGACCAAACUUGCUGCCAAGCUUAAAUGGUGUACUGGGGACAUCAAAAGAACCAAACCGUAGUGUCUCCAUGGGUACUUUUGAUGUGGAAGAUGCUCCCCCAAUAAGUGGUUUCUCAUUAUUAGAAGAGGCCUGAGGAUUAUUGUUAUCUCUGAACUGAUCAGAGUGUUGAUCAUUCGCAUCCUCAUGACCUUUGUCCCUAUCCUCCCCAUCGGCCAUAAGGGUAUCAGCAUCAUUUGGCUCAUUUUGUGCUAUCUUCUCGACCUCGAUCUCAAGGUCAUAAUGCACGCCAUCAUAAGACCAUGGAGCAAAAUCUGGAAUCUGGUCAACAUCGAGCACCAUUACAAGCAAUCUGGCUAUCCCCCUUUUGCGUGUAAAGGGCAUAUCUACUUUCUCAGUCUUCCCAAUCAACGAACCAAGACUCCAUACGAUUAGGAAAUCAUUAAGCAGAAUUUCUGGAAUACCUUCAAACCGAAUCCAUACCUUCUGCAACCUAGUACCCUGCGGUGCUGGUUUUAUGCAUUCCUCAAACUCAAGUAAACACUUGCUGCCACUAACCUUACUCAUCCCGAAAGUGAGUAGACGUUGAAGAUCCUCUCUUCUAGGAAACUCCACUUGGUAAGUAUUUUGCUCCACCUUUAUUGGUUCCCAAUUGUAUGUCUCCGAAACAAGCCUUCUCAUCUGUUGAGAAACUUGCUCAGCAGUCAAAUCCCCAUUCGUAACUUUGACGAGACCCGUUCUUGAGCUCUCUAGACGAGGUGGAGUUAGAACUGAACUGGAACCCGGUGUUUCAAAAAACAUUAGUUUGCUAUGGCAUACCCCAUAGAUGCUCAUGACAGGCUUAGGAGCUAAAAGUAAUGGGCACGCCGCAUCGAUAUGCCCAGGCUUUUGACAGAUAUCACACAAAUAUGUAAUACAAUCCACAACAAAGUGUCCAGGUAUCCCACAUCUAUAGCAUGUCAAUUUUUCUUUUUUUUCUGGCCGCCUUGUUAGCUCGUGCUACUUCCCUGUCCUCCGUCGUUAUUUUCUGUGUGGGCGGGAUGCCAUCUUCCCCUCCAUCUUCUUGGGUUACUUCCUUCCAUAUCGGCCCAGAGUUGUUCCUCCCAUAAUUGCGUAUCCCGCCCCCGCCUCUUUGCCGGAAAUUUCCGCGAGCUCCUUCGACAAAAUUGCCUUGGGGUGGCUGGAAGGGGCGAUGCCAUUGAUUGUAUCCUCCCCCAGGACCUCCUCCGGCAAUCCAAUUAGACCGGCCAGCACCUGGUCCACCAGGAUAAUCGUUCCACUGAUUUGCAUGACCUCUGUGCCCAUGGAAUCCACCUCCGCCACCGCGAUUAUGAACUCCCGGACCACCUCUUCCAACACCAGCAGACCCACGUCCCUGACCAGCAGUGACCGUAGGUCGGUUCUCCCUCACGCCAGCGACCGCUGGAGCAGAUACCCCAGCAUCAGGCCCUGCGGCGGCAGGAGUAUUCACCAUGGACGCAAUCCCAGCAGAAGCAUUUGCCGCAGGCGCAGACGGCACAGCUUGCCUCGCCGCCAUAGUAUCCAACACAGGGAUCGUUCUCGCUGUACCAGAACGCGUCGGGAACCCUGGUACCGCUUUGCUCCCCCCAGGUUUUGCCGAUCGAACUCCACGGUUAAUAUAAUGACGAGGGGAGUCAGCGAACAAAAGAGUCCUACCCUUACGCACAUCCAUAACCACAACAAUCUCGGUAGGAGUCCUACCCGGAGACUCUGGUAUCUGAUGCGAUUGUGCAACAGACUGGGCCAUAUACCCAGUCGUGUGCAAGUCAAUAGGUUUAGAUUCCAGCCCAUCUUGGCAUAAAAUCAAAUUCAAACAGGACUCCCUUGCCUCACGAAUCCCAAGAUCCGUCUUGGCUGAAUCAUGUGUCUUCUCUCGUGCUGUCGACGCCGAUCGACGCGAUUUCCUGACCGGAACUUCUUUACAAGAGUGAAAGAAAUCUGCCAACGUAAGAGCCGGAAGACGUACCUUCGGUAGAGGUCCCUUCCAUGGUCUUAUCGCGUUCGCGGUAGUUCGCCGGUGCACGACCCGUCGGAGCACCUCCACCCUGUCCUCGGCGUUAGCAGUCAGCCCUUCCCAGGCAGGAUCGGACUCGGGGACGAACCCAUCUAUGGAUUCUGCGAUCUGCUCCUCCGAGUAUCCCACCAGAAUGGAUUCGCAUACUAUGUCGGAAGGGGUUGGAGAAGCAGCUGGUGCGUUCUGCAGGUCGUCGUCGUCGUUAGGCAGAGCCCAGAAGCGUCCGCCGACGAGGCCGAGUCCCCUGCCGGCCGGCGGGGAGCCCAUCGCAUGGCAACCCCUCCUGUCGCCUCAGAGUCGCCUCUCCAGAAAUUUCGGAUCUUCAGUUUGUCGCCUCCGAUGUUUGUGGUAUCCCUACCUGAAUGUAUACAGCAUGCGAAGUAGCAUCGGUGUCUAAUAAUUCAAACUUUCGGUGGACAAGCACCUUCACAGAUUGAGAUCUAGUUAACUUUUCGGUACAUAUCCAUGUCCAUCCUUGCUCGCCGGCUGCAAUUUGUCCCUGGUCCAAUUAAGUUCUCUACCAAGAAUAUACCCUCCUUUUGGUUUCUUCGUGUCUAAGCAUAUCGCUGCGUGGCUAUUUCGCCACAUCGUGAUAGAAGAGGAGGAAGAGCAGCAUAUUCCACCAGGCUUGUAAGAGAAUAAAGGCACCUGCAUAUGGAAUGCAGCAGCAAAGGUCAUUUUAUUUUCCAUAUCCUUUUUGAUAUAUGCCUAGAAAUGCACUCAUAGUGAGUGCGUCGGAUCAGUUUGUGCCCCGGACCCGGUAUGUGGCUCGGUCAGGGUCUCCGGCUUUAGAUGUUAGGCUUAGGUGAGAGGUCUGGGUAUUUGGUCCAGCUUGCACCCCUUCAUCAUAUGAAUAGGAGUAGCGACAGAUGUUGCCAAGAUGACGGAUUCAGACAUAUUGUUGUAUUGUUUUGUAAGGUCCUCGAGAAUAAUCAAUAAAAUGACCGCAUGCAUCUCCCAGAUGCAGAGGCCGGGGGUCAUUAUCCUCUCUUUUUUUUUAAAGUAAUGCACUCAUAUGUUUCCACGUGCUUUCUAUUUCCUGGCGUCAUAUGCUUCUGACGUCAAGUUUGUUUAUUUUCUUGGAGUUUGGUGACGUCAUUUCGCACUUGGAAUUUAAGAUGAGUUAAUUGAAGUGUUAAUAAACAAAAUUGGAGGGAUGGACAGAGUUAAUCAAAGUGUUAAGUAAACUAAAAGUAAGGCAUGACCCAGAAUAUCAGAGAGCGUUAUCUUAAAGACUUUGACACUAGUCCCAAUCCAGGUCAAUGGUCUUGCAUGAAAAAGCUUGUUCAAAUUAACGACUGAAGUGUGGACGCAUAAAUUUUCGGUCGGUCUCUAGCAUUCCACGACUCAUGACCCAGUCCAAUGUUCAUGAACUCAUUUAUUAUUCCGAGAACAAAAAUAUUCUCCGGAAGAACACAAUGAGGCAUGAAUGCGUUGCACAGAUGUUUGGUACUCCACAGUAGCAUGCAUCUUCACUAUCUAGACCGUGCUUGGCUUGCCUUGAAAAUUCCGGCCAAAGAAUCUUUGUUCACAGUGAACCUUGUUAGUCUGUCUGCUUGGCAAGUACGGAGUAUUUGAUAGAACCAAAUUCUGCUCGUCUUGAAAAUCUCGAACGGUCAGUCUGUCGCUGUUUUCAACGGUAGGUCAUAAUUCUACCUGCCUUGAGGUGAAUGAACAUGGAGGGAGAGAGAGCAUGGAUCACAGUCGUUCUUGCCGGCCAUGAGGCACCGCAUUUCCAAACCCUAACAGUACCGCCCGUUGAUGCUGCCGCGGCGCGGUACCGCCCGCCGCGAUGCGUCGCGCUCGCCGGCCACCGUCACUGUACUCAAUCCGAGACUGAGGACCGAAGACGCGGCGUGCCUUCGCCCGGUGAAGACAAGACACGCUUCAGGAGCCACUUUCCCUUUGGCUUUGCACACACGUCGCGUCCAGCACGAGCUGGUCAUGUCCGCACCCGGAGCAUAUAUACCCCCACCACCACCACCACCACCACCAGCACCAACUCCUCGGUGCAGCUCCAAUCCAGUCUAGUGGUCGUAGUUAGUCUAGUGCAAGUGCAAAGUGCAAACAAAGAAAAAAGAAAGAGGCAGCCAGCAAGAAUGUGCUUCGAGUUCAGCUCCUGUUUCGGCGGCGGCAGAAAGGACGACUACGGCGGCGAGCGGUCCAACCACAGCGGCUGCGGCGGCCUUCACCGCGCCCGUAGGGGGUACCGCAAGAACGGGAACGGCUACAACGCGGCCGCCGACGACCACAAACUGGCGACGGCCUACGACCACCAGCGGGCUCUUGACGAGGAGGGGCGCAAGGCCAACCACGAUGGCGCGCGGAAAGCUGAUCACGCCACCGUGGUCGCCGGCGCCAGUGUCCACGGCUACUCUGCUGCCUACGCGCCAGACAAGGCCCACGAGAAGCCAAAGCUUCCUUCGUCGCAAAACAAGGCCAGCGACGACGCCGGCUACGCCGACAACACCGCGCGUCUCCACCAAGCUGCCGCUGAUCAUAGGGAGCACGCCGCCAUGGAUUACCACCACCACUACCCAUCCACUACUACCACUCUCGUCAGGUACUAGAUAGUUGUUAGGAAUAGGAAUAGCUAGCAUGGCAGUUUAUCAAUCCAAAACACUACUGUCUCUCCUUCUGUUCUGUUAGGUAGCUCUGCUUUUCUACUCUCUUUUUCGUUUUUCCCUGGGUAUUGAUCAGAUGAAACUGAGAAGGCACAUGGAUUAAAGGUCUGUGGAUUAUGAUCAGAGCCUCCAUGUAUUUGGCCAUGGAUGUGCGGUACAAGUUCCAGAUCCAGAAAACUUUUACCAGUCUCUUUCUGUAGUUGCUAGCCUGUAAUUUUGCUGUGGCUUCUUUCUUCUUGUAUCAUACUCACUCCGUCUCAAAAUUUUUGUCUUAGAUUUGUCUAGAUAUGGAUGUAUCUAAAUACUAGAUACAUUCAUUUUUAGACAAAUCUAAAACAAGAAUUUUGAAACGGAGGGAGUAUAAUCUAUUGGAAGAAAGAAUUGCUAAGAUCUAUGAUUCCCCAUUUCUACCAUUGCUAUGUGUUUCUCUCUCUUUUCUUUUGCAGUCUUUUCUUCAGUCUUUAAUGAAUAUUUAUUCAUUCUGGUUGUUCUCAUCUCUUGCCCAUUCUGAAGCGCUGAAGAACGCAAUGUCUCGCAAGAGCAGCCAACAUCUUUAUUUCGUUUGUUGGCACCUUAUCUAGUGCUUGAAAUAGCCCACCACAAUUUGUACUAAUCCUGAACCAUGAUACUUGCUCAACAUGUCACCAAGUUAAAAAUAGGUAUAUUGAUAUUUUUCAGAGAAAGGAUCUAGACUUCGGUACAGACUCCCGAGUAUGGAUUUGUAUCACGAUAUGCUUUUUUUCUCUUUGUUAGAUAAAACGAGAUCAACCAGACACGGGAGACACGGAUUUUUACGUGAAAACCCUUGCGGGAGAUAACCACGGACGCACGAAGGCGCAAUCAUUAUGAGGAGGAGUAUUACAAGCACGAGACGACAUACAUUCUUUAGGUGCGACUAUAUGGAGUAUAUAUUGUUGAGUAAAUAGGCNNNNNNNNNNNNNNNNNNNNNNNNNNNNNNNNNNNNNNNNNNNNNNNNNNNNNNNNNNNNNNNNNNNNNNNNNNNNNNNNNNNNNNNNNNNNNNNNNNNNAUUAUCAUAGUUUUGUCAAAUUCUCAAAUAUGCAAAAAGAAUUUUAAUAAACAUAGUUUUAAUUGAAAAUAACAAAAUAGUUAAUAGUUUGGAUAGUCAAAAUAAUWACUUUUGAAAAUAGAAAAUAGUUUAGAAUUAUUUAUUCAAUUUCAAACACUUUUCAUUAUCAUAGUUUUGUCAAAUUCUCAAAUAUGCAAAAAGAAUUUUAAUAAACAUAGUUUUUAAUUGAAAACAACAAAAUAGUUAAUAGUUUGGAUGGUUAAAAUAAUUACUUUUGAAAAUAGAAAAUAGUUUAGAAUUAUUUAUUCAAUUUCAAACACUUUCAUUAUCAUAGUUUUGUCAAAUUCUCAAAUAUGCAAUAAGAAUUUUAAUAAAACAUAGUUUUUAAUUGAAAAUAGAAAAAAUUGAAACUAUAUGAGAAUUUGUAAAGAAACUUAAACCUAAUUCAAAGUGAGCUCACUUUGAAUUCAGAUUUAAGUUUCUCCACAAUUUCAAAUAUAGUUUCAAUUUUUUAAUUUAGGCCCGUAAGCCUGCUUUAGAGAGGAGCUCGAUGGAGUAGCUACGACGGGGCUUAUAAACAAGUGUUAGUCCCCCUCGCUGGGCGAGGUGGGACUAAACUUAUCGUGCAGCCGAGGAGGGGCUUUAGUCCCGGGUGGAGCCACGACCCGGGACUAAAGCCCCUCGCCUGCCGCCUGCCGAGGAGGGGCUUUAGUCCCGGUGCGUGGCUCCAACCGGGACUAAAGACCCCCUUUAGUCCCGGUUGGAGCUCCGCACCGGGACUAAAGGCCCCUGCUUCCCACCUUCUGGUUUGCCCGAAAAGAGGCCUUUAGUCCCGGUCGUGGCUCCACCCGGGAGUAAAGGGGGUCUUUAGUCCCGGUUCGAGCCACGAACCGGGACUAAAGAUCCACCUAUAUAAGCGGGAGUUAGAAAAAUUCCAACCCAAAUCGUUCGUUUCUCUUCUUCUUCCUCUCGUUCUCCUGCCCGGCGCGGCACACCGAUGACCUCGACGACGCCGUCAGGCUGCCCGUCGUCCUCCUCGCCGUCGCGUGCCGUCCUCCUCGCCCUCGCCGUCGUCCUCCUCGCCGCCGCCGUCCUCCUCGCCGCGCGCCGCCCUCCUCGCCGCGCGCCGUCGACACCUCCGGCCGGUAAGCCCCCCGCCCCUCUCCCCAACACUCCGGCCUGUAGAAGAAAAGACGAAAAAAGGAGAAGAAAGGAAGAAAAAAGGAGAAGAAAGGAAGAAAAAGGAGAAGAAAGGAAGAAAANNNNNNNNNNNNNNNNNNNNNNNNNNNNNNNNNNNNNNNNNNNNNNNNNNNNNNNNNNNNNNNNNNNNNNNNNNNNNNNNNNNNNNNNNNNNNNNNNNNNACUUAUUUUUUUGAGCUAGUUGACCCUGAAAUUGAAAAGCACUACAAAUGAACUCUGAAAAUGUUGAAAGUUGGCAUGCUAUCAUCAUUUCACCCACAUAACAUGUGUUAAAAAGUUGAGAGGGCUACGACAUAAACUGGAUGUACUUCGUGUACAAAACGGACAAUCUCUCUCGAAGUAUCACGGUUUCGAACGAGAACUCAUCUCUUACAAAGGGAUUUCAUUUUUUKGAACUUAUUUGAACUCCAUACUUUUUGUGUGUUCGAAAUGCACCAUUCAAAGGCACAUCACAAAAUUUCAACAAUUUCUGACUUCAUUUUAGUAUUCUUCGUGCAUUUACUUUUUUUGAGCUAGUUGACCCUUGAAAUUGGAAAAGCACUACAAAUGAACUCUGAAAAUGUUGAAAGUUGGCAUGCUAUCAUCAUUUCACCCACAUAGCAUGUGUUAAAAAGUUGAGAGGGCUACGACAAAAACUGGAUGCACUUCGUGUACAAAACGGACAAUCUCUCUCGAAGUAUUNNNNNNNNNNNNNNNNNNNNNNNNNNNNNNNNNNNNNNNNNNNNNNNNNNNNNNNNNNNNNNNNNNNNNNNNNNNNNNNNNNNNNNNNNNNNNNNNNNNNUUCAUUUGUAGUGCUUUUCAAUUUCAGGGUCAACUAGCUCAAAAAAAAUAAGUUAAUAGUUUGGAUAGUCAAAAUAAUUACUUUUGAAAAUAGAAAAUAGUUUUGAAUUAUUUAUUCAAUUUCAAACACUUUCAUUAUCAUAGUUUUGUCAAAUUCUCAAAUAUGCAAAAAGAAUUUUAAUAAACAUAGUUUUUAAUUGAAAAUAACAAAAUAGUUAAUAGUUUGGAUAGUCAAAAUAAUAAUUUUUGAAAAUAGAAAAUAGUUUAGAAUUAUUUAUUCAAUUUCAAACACUUUCAUUAUCAUAGUUUUGUCAAAUUCUCAAAUAUGCAAAAAGAAUUUUAAUAAACAUAGUUUUUAAUUGAAAACAACAAAAUAGUUAAUAGUUUGGAUGGUUAAAAUAAUUACUUUUGAAAAUAGAAAAUAGUUUAGAAUUAUUUAUUCAAUUUCAAACACUUUCAUUAUCAUAGUUUUGUCAAAUUCUCAAAUAUGCAAUAAGAAUUUUAAUAAAACAUAGUUUUUAAUUGAAAAUAGAAAAAAAUUGAAACUAUAUGAGAAUUUGUAAAGAAACUUAAACCUAAUUCAAAGUGAGCUCACUUUGAAUUCAGAUUUAAGUUUCUCCACAAUUUCAAAUAUAGUUUCAAUUUUUUAAUUUAGGCCCGUAAGCCUGCUUUAGAGAGGAGCUCGAUGGAGUAGCUACGACGGGGCUUAUAAACAAGUGUUAGUCCCCCUCGCUGGGCGAGGUGGGACUAAACUUAUCGUGCAGCCGAGGAGGGGCUUUAGUCCCGGGUGGAGCCACGACCCGGGACUAAAGCCCCUCGCCUGCCGCNNNNNNNNNNNNNNNNNNNNNNNNNNNNNNNNNNNNNNNNNNNNNNNNNNNNNNNNNNNNNNNNNNNNNNNNNNNNNNNNNNNNNNNNNNNNNNNNNNNNUAAAGACCCCCUUUAGUCCCGGUUGGAGCUCCGCACCGGGACUAAAGGCCCCUGCUUCCCACCUUCUGGUUUGCCCGAAAAGAGGCCUUUAGUCCCGGUCGUGGCUCCACCCGGGAGUAAAGGGGGUCUUUAGUCCCGGUUCGAGCCACGAACCGGGACUAAAGAUCCACCUAUAUAAGCGGGAGUUAGAAAAAUUCCAACCCAAAUCGUUCGUUUCUCUUCUUCUUCCUCUCGUUCUCCUGCCCGGCGCGGCACACCGAUGACCUCGACGACGCCGUCAGGCUGCCCGUCGUCCUCCUCGCCGUCGCGUGCCGUCCUCCUCGCCCUCGCCGUCGUCCUCCUCGCCGCCGCCGUCCUCCUCGCCGCGCGCCGCCCUCCUCGCCGCGCGCCGUCGACACCUCCGGCCGGUAAGCCCCCCGCCCCCUCCUCCCCAACACUCCGGCCUGUAGAAGAAAAGACGAAAAAGGAGAAGAAAGGAAGAAAAAGGAGAAGAAAGGAAGAAAAAGGAGAAGAAAAGAAGAAAAAAGGAGAAGAAAGGAAGAAAAAGGAGAAGAAAGGAAGAAAAAGGAGAAGAAAAGAAGAAAAAGGAGAAGAAAAGAAGAAAAAGGGAAGGAUAAGAAAAAGAAGAAAAAGGAGAAGAAAAGAAGAAAAAGGAGAAGAAAGGAAGAAAAAGGAGAAGAAAGGAAGAAAANNNNNNNNNNNNNNNNNNNNNNNNNNNNNNNNNNNNNNNNNNNNNNNNNNNNNNNNNNNNNNNNNNNNNNNNNNNNNNNNNNNNNNNNNNNNNNNNNNNNGGUUGCGGGAAUGAGCCGCUCAUACCCACGUCUCUCCACCCAGCCGCCUUUAUAAGCACGCGAUCGCCUACCCUAGCCGUCACGAAAAUCAGAUCACAAAGAACUCUGUCCAACAGAAUACCGACUUCAAGAAGAAGGGGAAGAAGCCCUUCAAGAAGAAUAAGAAGGGAGAUGGCUGCUGACUCCAAGUCUGCAAACAUGAUUGUGGUCAACAAUGAAAGUGGUGCAUCUGGGUACGGUAAUUUACUUACUGUAUUUACAGUUUGUCAGUCCACCGAUUGGUGGGUGGACACGGGUGCAAAUAUUCAUGUGUGUGCUGACUUGUCAUUGUUCUCUUCUUAUCAGGCCACCGGUCGCGGGUCCGUAUUGAUGGGGAAUGGCGCGAGUGCUUCUGUUCUUGGUGUUGGCACGGUCGAUCUGAAGUUUANNNNNNNNNNAUCAUUGUUCUCUUCUUAUCAGGCCACCGAUCGCGGGUCCGUAUUGAUGGGGAAUGGCGUGACUGCUUCUGUUCUUGGUGUUGGCACGGUCGAUCUGAAGUUUACUUCGGGAAGGAUCGUGCAGCUGAAGAACGUGCAGCAUGUCCCCGCCAUCAAGAAGAAUCUCGUUAGUGGCUCUCUUCUGUGUAGAGAAGGGUUUAAGUUGGUGUUCGAGUCUAAUAAGUAGUAGUUACGAAAUAUGGACUUUUCAUUGGAAAAGGUUAUGAAUGCGGAGGUCUGUUCCGCCUUUCUCUAGCAGNNNNNNNNNNAGUAGUAGUUACGAAAUAUGGACUUUUCGUUGGAAAAGGUUAUGAAUGCGGAGGUCUGUUCCGCCUUUCUCUAGCAGAUUUUUGUAAUAAAGUCGUGAAUAAUAUUCAUUCGAGUGUUAAUGAAUCUGAAGUUUGGCAUUCACGUCUUUGUCACAUAAGUUUCGGUGUUAUGUCGCGGCUAGCAAAACUGAAUUUAAUCCCAAUUUUCACUUUAGCCAAAGGUUCUAAGUGCCACUCGUGUGUGCAAGCAAAGCAACCUCGCAAGCCUCACAAGGCUGCAGAGGAGAGACACUUGGCACCAUUAGAACUCAUACAUUCUGAUCUUUGUGAGAUGAAUGGUGUGUUGACUAAAGGUGGAAAGAAAUACUUCAUGACAUUGAUAGAUGAUUCCACUAGAUUUUGCUAUGUGUAUCUGUUAAAUACUAAAGAUGAGGCUCUACACUACUUUAAAAUCUAUAAGGCAGAAGUUGAGNNNNNNNNNNNNNNNNNNNNNNNNNNNNNNNNNNNNNNNNNNNNNNNNNNNNNNNNNNNNNNNNNNNNNNNNNNNNNNNNNNNNNNNNNNNNNNNNNNNNUAAAGCGACGUUGAAGUCUCGGUUCUAAGCCAUACAAGACUGCACAUUGAACUAUUGAGUAGUCCUCCUUACGUGCUAACCAAGCGUUCUUAACAUCCUGAUCAGCCGUAGCGGGUGGUUCAUCUCGUAGCGCAGCAUUAAGGACAUAAUCCUUCUUCCCAGCUUGUAAGAUUAGCUUAAGAUUACGAGCCCAGUCUACAAAGUUGCUUCCAUCAUCUUUCAACUUAGCUUUCUCUAGGAACGUAUUAAAAUUCAGGAUGACUGUCGCGUGAGCCAUGAUCAACAACACAAAUAUAUUCAAAGUGGACUUAGACUAUGUUCAAGAUAAUUAGAGUUCAACUUAAUCAAAUUAUAUGCUAAACUCCCACUCAAAAAGUACAUCUCUCUAGUCAUUUGAGUGGUUCAGGAUCCACUUAUACUAUCCCAAGUCCGAUCAUCACGUCGUUGGCCAUAUCACAUCACAAUCAUACCCUGCAAAAACAAGUUAGANNNNNNNNNNUCAUCACGUGCUUCUUGAUCUCCAUCACCAAAGCACCGGCACGAUCUUCUUGUCACCGGCGCCACACCAUGAUCAUCCAUCAACGUGUUGCCAUCGGGGUUGUCGUGCUACUUAUGCUAUUACUAUUAAAGCUACAUCCUAGCAAAAUAGUAAAUGCAUCUGCAAGCACAAACGUUAGUAUAAAGACAACCCUAUGGCUCCUGCCGGUUGUCGUACCAUCGACGUGCAAGUCAAUAUUUCUAUUACAACAUGAUCAUCUCAUACAUCCAAUAUAUCACAUCACAUCGUUGGCCAUAUCACAUCACAAUCAUACCCUGCAAAAACAAGUUAGANNNNNNNNNNCUCUAAUUUUGUUGUUGCAUGUUUUACGUGGUGACCAAGGGUAGCUAGUAGGUUCGCAUCUUACUUACGCAAACACCACAACGGAGAUAUAUGAGUUGCUAUUUAACCUCAUCCAAGGACCUCCUCGGUCAAAUCCGAUUCAACUAAAGUUGGAGAAACCGUCACUUGCCAGUCAUCUUUGAGCAAAGGGGGUUACUCGUAACGAUGAAACCAGUCUCUCGCAAGCUUACGAGUAAUGUCGGUCCAAGCCGCUUCAAUCCAACAAUACCGCGGAAUCAAGAAAAGACUAAGGAGGGCAGCAAAACGCACAUCACCGCCCACAAAAACUUUUGUGUUCUACUCGAGAAGACAUCUUCGCAUGAACCUAGCUCAUGAUGCCACUAUUGGUGAACGUCGCAUGGGAAACAAAAAAUUUCCUGCGCGCACGAAGACCUAUCAUGGUAAUGUCCAUCUACGAGAGGGGAUGAGUGAUCUACGUACCCUCGUAGACCAUACAGCAGAAGCGUUAGAGAACGCGAUUGAUGUAGUGGAACGUCCUCACGUCCCUCGAUCCGCCCCGCGAACAAUCCCGCGAUCAGUCCCACGAUCUAGUACCGAACGGACGGCACCUCCGCGUUCAGCACACGUACAGCUCGACGAUGAUCUCGGCCUUCUUGAUCCAGCAAGAGAGACGGAGAGGUAGAAGAGUUCUCCGGCAGCGUGACGGCGCUCCGGAGGUUGGUGAUGACCUUGUCUCAGCAGGGCUCCGCCCGAGCUCCGCAGAAACGCGAUCUAGAGGAAAAACCGUGGAGGUAUGUGGUCGGGCUGCCGUGGAAAAGUCGUCUCAAAUCAGCCCUAAAACCUCCGUAUAUAUACGUGGGAGGGAGGGGGCCUUGCCUUGGGGUCCAAGGACCCUAAAGGGGGUCGGCCGAGCCUAGGGGGAGGACUCUCCCCCCCCCCAAACCGAGUUGGACUAGGUUUGGUGGGAGGGAGUCCCCCUCCCUUCCCACCUCCUCCUUUUUUUUCCUUUUUCCUUUGAUUUCUUAUCCUUGGCGCAUAGGGCCCUUUUGGGCUGUCCCACCAGCCCACUAAGGGCUGGUGCGCCACCCUUAUGGCCUAUGGGCUUCCCCGGGGUNNNNNNNNNNNNNNNNNNNNNNNNNNNNNNNNNNNNNNNNNNNNNNNNNNNNNNNNNNNNNNNNNNNNNNNNNNNNNNNNNNNNNNNNNNNNNNNNNNNNACCAUAGGGACGAUCAGUGAUUUCCCAUGUCCCGUUAGCCAUGAUGGAAUCCAUCUCGCUACGGACCGCAGCUUUCCAGUAAUCAGCAUCUGGAGAAGCAUACACUUCUGAAAUAGAAGUGGGAUUAUCAUCCACGAGGUAUACGAAGAAAUCAUCACCAAAGGUUUUUGCAGUCCUUUGUCUCUUGCCCCUACCACGGGCUUCCUCGUCAUCCUCCUCAGGAUUUUCAUNNNNNNNNNNGUCCAUCUCGCUACGGACAGCAGCUUUCCAGUAAUCAGCAUCUGGAGAAGCAUACGCUUCUGAAAUAGAAGUGGGAUUAUCAUCCACGAGGUAUACGAAGAAAUCAUCACCAAAGGUCUUUGCAGUCCUUUGUAUCUUGCCCCUACCACGGGCUUCCUCGUCAUCCUCCUCGGGAUUUUCAUCAUGUGUUUGUUCAUAGUAUUCCAUAGGAAUGGCAGGCUCAUGAGUUAUCUCAGAUUCCUGUCUAGAAGUGCUUUGCAUAUCUCUCAUGGGAAACAUAUCCUCAAAGAAUGUAGCAUCCCUCGACUCCAUUAUUGUACCGACCUUCACGUCAGGUACCUCAGAUUUCACUACUAGAAAUCUAUAGCCUACGCUAUUCUUAGCGUAUCCCAAAUUAACGCAAUCCACAGUCUUUGGUCCAAGCUUACGCUUCUUGGGGAUCGGCACAUUGACUUUCGCCAAGCAGCCCCAAGUGCGUAAGUACGAGAGUGUCGUCCUUCUCUUCGACCACUCCUCGUAGGGAGUGACCUCAUUAUCUUUUGUAGGAACUUUAUUCAGGAGAUGACACGCGGUCAAUAUAGCCUCCCCCCACCAUGCCUUGGAUAAACCCGAUGUAUCUAACAUGGCGUUAACCAAAUCAGUUAGAGUACGGUUUUUCUGCUCGGCAACCCCGUUUGACUGGGGUGAAUAGGGAGGCGUCCUCUCAUGAAUAAUGCCGUGUUCCGCACAAAAUGAAUCAAAUUCGUUUGAGAAGUACUCUCCACCACGAUCAGACCGGACUCGUUUAAUUUUCUUUUCANNNNNNNNNNNNNNNNNNNNNNNNNNNNNNNNNNNNNNNNNNNNNNNNNNNNNNNNNNNNNNNNNNNNNNNNNNNNNNNNNNNNNNNNNNNNNNNNNNNNGGGUGGGGGUAUAUAUGCUCCGGGUGCGGAGAUGACCAGCUCGUGCUGGACGCGAAGUGUGUGCAAAGCCAAAGGGAAAGUGGCUCCUGAAGCGUGUCUUCUCUUCACCGGGCGAAGGCACGCCGCGUCUUCGGUCCUCAGUCUCGGAUUGAGUACAGUGACGGUGGCCGGCGAGCGCGACGCAUCGCGGCGGGCGGUACCGCGCCGCGGCAGCAUCAACGGGCGGUACUGUUAGGGUUUGGAAAUGCGUGGCACGGUGCCUCAUGGCCGGCAAGAACGACUGUGAUCCAUGCUCUCUCUCCCUCCAUGUUCAUUCACCUCAAGGCAGGUAGAAUUAUGACCUACCGUUGAAAACAGCGACAGACUGACCGUUCGAGAUUUUCAAGACGAGCAGAAUUUGGUUCUAUCAAAUACUCCGUACUUGCCAAGCAGACAGACUAACAAGGUUCACUGUGAACAAAGAUUCUUUGGCCGGAAUUUUCAAGGCAAGCCAAGCACGGUCUAGAUAGUGAAGAUGCAUGCUACUGUGGAGUACCAAACAUCUGUGCAACGCAUUCAUGCCUCAUUGUGUUCUUCCGGAGAAUAUUUUUGUUCUCGGAAUAAUAAAUGAGUUCAUGAACAUUGGACUGGGUCAUGAGUCGUGGAAUGCUAGAGACCGACCGAAAAUUUAUGCGUCCACACUUCAGUCGUUAAUUUGAACAAGCUUUUUCAUGCAAGACCAUUGACCUGGAUUGGGACUAGUGUCAAAGUCUUUAAGAUAACGCUCUCUGAUAUUCUGGGUCAUGCCUUACUUUUAGUUUACUUAACACUUUGAUUAACUCUGUCCAUCCCUCCAAUUUUGUUUAUUAACACUUCAAUUAACUCAUCUUAAAUUCCAAGUGCGAAAUGACGUCACCAAACUCCAAGAAAAUAAACAAACUUGACGUCAGAAGCAUAUGACGCCAGGAAAUAGAAAGCACGUGGAAACAUAUGAGUGCAUUACUUUAAAAAAAAAGAGAGGAUAAUGACCCCCGGCCUCUGCAUCUGGGAGAUGCAUGCGGUCAUUUUAUUGAUUAUUCUCGAGGACCUUACAAAACAAUACAACAAUAUGUCUGAAUCCGUCAUCUUGGCAACAUCUGUCGCUACUCCUAUUCAUAUGAUGAAGGGGUGCAAGCUGGACCAAAUACCCAGACCUCUCACCUAAGCCUAACAUCUAAAGCCGGAGACCCUGACCGAGCCACAUACCGGGUCCGGGGCACAAACUGAUCCGACGCACUCACUAUGAGUGCAUUUCUAGGCAUAUAUCAAAAAGGAUAUGGAAAAUAAAAUGACCUUUGCUGCUGCAUUCCAUAUGCAGGUGCCUUUAUUCUCUUACAAGCCUGGUGGAAUAUGCUGCUCUUCCUCCUCUUCUAUCACGAUGUGGCGAAAUAGCCACGCAGCGAUAUGCUUAGACACGAAGAAACCAAAAGGAGGGUAUAUUCUUGGUAGAGAACUUAAUUGGAUCGGGGAAAAAUUGCAGCCGGCCAGCAAGGAUGGAGAUGGAUAUGCACCGGAAAGUUAACUAGAUCUCAAUCUGUGAAGGUGCUUGUCCACCGAAAGUAAAGUUUGAAUUAUUAGAGACCGAUGCCACUUGUUAUGGAUUAUGUAGUAUCAANNNNNNNNNNNNNNNNNNNNNNNNNNNNNNNNNNNNNNNNNNNNNNNNNNNNNNNNNNNNNNNNNNNNNNNNNNNNNNNNNNNNNNNNNNNNNNNNNNNNAGGAGAAGAAAAGAAGAAAAAGGAGAAGAAAAGAAGAAAAAGGGAAGGAUAAGAAAAAGAAGAAAAAGGAGAAGAAAAGAAGAAAAAGGAGAAGAAAGGAAGAAAAAGGAGAAGAAAGGAAGAAAAAGGAGAAGAAAAGAAGAAAAAAGGAGAAGAAAGGAAGAAAAAGGAGAAGAAAAGAAGAAAAAGGGAAGAAGAAGAAGAAGAAAGAAAAAGAUUUUUUUUUGUCAUUUAAUUCCUAUUGUUAUUAGGUUUGUGCUAGAUUAUUAGGGUUAGUAAUAUUUAGAAUUAGGUUAGGGUUACAAGAAGAAGAAAUAUGAACAAAAAUAAGAAAAUAAGAUUAGGAAAAAGGAAAAUAAGAAGAGGAGGAGAAGAAAAGAAGAAAAAGGAGAAUAGGAAGAGGAGGAGAGCAGAAGAAGAGGAGAAGUAGAAGAAGAGAAAAAAUUAGAAGAGGAGGAGUGGAGAAGUAGAAGAAGAGAAGAGGAGAAGUAGUAGAAGAAGAGGAGAAGUAGAAGUAGAAGAAGAAGUAGAAGAAGAGGAAAAAUAGAAGAAGAGGAAAAAUUAGUUUAGGGUUACAAGAAGAAGAAAUAUUUUUUUUGUCAUUUAAUUUUGCUAUUGUAUAGUGUAUAUGCUUAAAUUUUAAUAGUGUUUCUUAGAUUAUUGCUUAAUUUUGCUAUUGUAUAUGCUUAAGUGUUAAUAGUUUAAUUUUGCUAUUGUAUAUGCUUAAGUGUUAAUAGUUUAUUUUUAGCAAGAAAAUUAAUAGAACUAGUUUAUUUUUUUAGUUCAUUUUACGAUGCCUAUCCCGCAUCCUCGUCGUCGACUCGGCGGAGGACACCUGCUUGAUCAGAGGGGCCCUGUGUGGGACUGGGCUCCGCCCGGCUGGUAUUGGGAGGUGCUACCUUCCGGGGGGCGUAGGUUGGUGAGGAGCCAGCCCGUCGUUGACCCAAGCUUCCUAAGAAUACUGCUGACACAUUCAAGAAGCAAUGCGGAGUUCUUGUUAGGGAUCACGUCCCGAUCAGCGUUCGGGAGUGGAACAAGCGCAAAGGGGCAGCCGAUAGUGACUAUGUCGCCGAAAGGUACAAAGGUAAUCUUUGGAAUGAUCUCAUGUCACAUUUCAACCUGCCAGAAUGUGAGAAUGAAGACGGCGCAGACAAACUGAGGGCCAUAGUCAAGCAGUGGACUCUAAAGAAGAUGGCCGAACUGUUCCGUAGCUGGAAGAAGAAGCUAUGGAAAAACUAUCUGAAGACAAAGAAAGUGCCAGUAUUCGAGGGGUAUCUAACCAAGCAGGCGAAUCACUGGAAGGCAUUUCAAGAGUACAAGGAGUCAGAAGAUGCCCAGGCAUUAUCAGAAAAGAACAAGAUAAAUGCCGACAAGAAGAAAUAUCACCACAAGCUGGGGCCAGGGGGCUAUGAGACUGCCAUCCCAAAGUGGGAUAAGAAAGAGCUAGAUCUGCUAGCUAAAGGCAUCGUACCUGAACCACUCCGUGAUGAGUGGGAAUUGAGAGCAAGAAAUUGGUUCCUUGCGCAUGGUGGUUCGUACGACGAAGAAACAGGGGACCUCAUCUGCAGUGACGGUCUUAGGAUACCCAGGGAGAAUUGGAAAAGGAUAGUGAAAGAAAUUAAGGAGGGAAAAAGAAAGUUCACUGCAGAUAGAGAGAAAGAUUUUCUCACACUGGUCCUCGGCAAUGACGAACAUGGAGGACGAACGCGAGGCUUCGGUCCUUCUUACCCGUGGUGGCUUGGGUUUGCGAGAGACCAAGACACUUACGGAAGCCGAGAGAGAGCAAAGAAGCGGAAGCAGGAUGAGGAGAAUGACAAGUUCAACCAGUUGCUUGCCAGGAUUAACGAGCAACAGAAGCAGAUUGAUGAGCUUAGAGGAGUAGCGCGCCAGGAAGAUCCUGCAUUUGAUAUUACCGGCGCCCCAUCUAAGCGGAAAAGCAGCGUGGCUGAAUCUGAGGCCCCACCCGACGAUGCACGAAGAAUGAUAGAGGGCGGUCCCGGCUACCCCGUGGAUGGAAUCAAGGAGUCAACAUCAUGUGAACUCCAUCAGAAAUUCAAGAACAUAUCCAUGAAGAUGACCGUCGGACAAGCUUUACCUUCUGGCCCUGAUGCACGCUGGCAUGGCCGUGAGAUUCCAGCUGGCUUUGCUAAAGUCGGGGUGGAUGAAAUCAUGGCGGGGUUUCAUGAUAUGGAGCUCGACAUAGCUGGACCCGAAGAUGAGAGGACACUCGGAGAAGUACUGGGUGGAGUCAUCCUAUGGAACAAGAACUACAUCAAGCUUCCAGGCUCGGCCCCAAGGACAACACCGCCUCCGAGUCGUCGCAGGUCACCUACACCUCCAUUACCUCCAAGCCCUCCACAUGACGUCGGCCAGCACAACACGAGUCCAUCUCUAUCAACGCCGCCGGACUUGGGUCGUCCGUCUCCGCCGCCGCCCGCUCCGGAUACUAAACGGAAGCGUGCCAGCAAGAACGCUCCGCCGACGAUUUCUAAGCGACGGAGCCCCCCAAAGCACAAACGGUUGCCCCUCCCAAAGGUACCUCAUGCUAAUCUUCCUAUCAGACCUUAUGAUCGUACCCCCGAGGAAAACGCCGGGAUAGCAAAGGAACAUCAUGAUGCGCAGAUGAAAAAGAAGGAACCCGAGCCCCGCCCGGAAUACACCGAGAAGCAAAUAGCAUUUGCAAAAUACUUCACGACUCUUCCAUCAUAGUAUGACUUACACCAUAAGCCUGAUGACUAUACACGCACAUUGCAGAAGGAAAUGAAAAAGAGCAGAUCACGUGCAAGUGCAAGUGGGAGCAAAUCAAGUUCAACUACAAGCAAAAAAAAAUCAGACGUUCCUCAGCUUGGACAACAGGCCAAACAGUCGAUCCCACCCCUCAGGGUGUUAACCGAGAAUGUCCCCCCUUCGGUGCAGGGGAAAUAUUUGGAAUUAGCAAAGAAGUGGGCGGCUGAAUGGGGUAUCCCGGUUGAAGACAUUCUGGUUUCCCAAGACGACAGGUUACCCAAGGCUGUGGUAGCCCCUAAGCCACAGUUUGUCAUGGGAGCGCCUUUGGUCAACAAAGAUGAUCUCCCAACAAAUAUGCAUUACAUGCAUACAUGGUACUUAAGUGAAUCAAAGAAUGUGAGAACGAUGAUCGUGGUGAGUGUCCCACGGGAGUACUACGGCCGCCCCGAAGAAAUCCAUAUCGACUUUGAUGAAAUCUUCCAGAUGUACAAUGGCGACGCCCUCGACAAAUCGCUUAUGAGUUGCUAUUGUGUGUAAGUUUUUUAAUUCGUUGUCUACAUAUAACUUGUUUAGUUAUUUCAAUUCAUUGUCUAUAUAUAACUUGUACUCUAUUAUGCAGAAUGAAGAUUCUGGAUUGUAAAAGUAGGAACAUCCUAAAUAUUGGGUUUAUUGACCCAGGUAAAAUACAUAUAGCGACGCUAACUGAUAAACCCAAGGAGACGGAGGAAAACCUUCUUAGGUUUCUAACAGAUCAAAAUUUCUGUGACCACAUAUUGUUUCCAUACAACUUUAGGUGAGGGUCUUUGCUCUGUUGUGUCCAUUCAAUUGUAAGUGUAAUUGAUAAGUUACUGACACACACAUAUAUAUAUAUACAUACAUGUGCAGCUUCCAUUGGAUUCUGUUGGACAUUCAAAUUGAUAAGGAAAGAGUUGAUGCCUUUGACCCAUUAUCGAGACCCUUGAAACAGUUCCAAAGCCUGCAGGACAUGCUCCAAGGGUAAUUUCAAUCAUUCUUGCGCUCUAUCGGUCUCUUUCGAUGACUUUCUGAUAUAUCAAUUAAUAAAAAACUUAGCAAAUCAUUAUCCUUGUCGGGCAGGGUUUGGAAGCGGUUCAAGUGCGUGACUCCCGGUAUCGAGCCUGAGAAGCUGACCUUUAGAGCGGCUCAGGUAAGUAGUAGUAUGAUAUACUUCUAUUUUCAAUAUAUUUAUGAUGCUAGAUUAUUAUUUUGAUCAUAUAUAUUCUAUUCUCGUAAAGUGCGACCAGCAGCCACGGGGGACGCAUAUAUGCGGAUACUAUGUUUGCGAGACCAUUCGCAUGUUUACCUCUGAGCACAAGGAUCACAGAUUCGACGUAAGCAAUGAACAUUCACACCUCUAUUUUAAUCCGUCAUUCUUUGUUAUCAUGAUUGAUAUUCAUAUUCAUCUCCUCUUCUUAUAUAGUACACGGCCAUGAGGACGAAGGUCCUACCAGAGCAACGCGCGAUUGCUGUUGCAGAGGAGCUUGCGACCUUUCUGAGGACGGAAGCUAUAGAAUACAAAGGACGAUUUAGUGUAGCUAGGGGCCAUUACUGAUGUUCGUCCAUGUAAUCGAAUAGACGGGCUCUAGUCCCGAUAAUUCAGAUCUUCAUAUAAUUGUAUAUAUAUGCUCGCUUGUAAGAUAAGUUAAUCUUAUAUAUAUAUAUAUAUAUAUAUAUAUAUAUAUAAUUAUUUCUAUUUAAAUUAUAUGAAAACUAAUUCGCGAACACCAAACGAGGCAUCACGUUAAUCUCCCGAACACAUAAACCCUAAAACCCUAAACCCAAAAAUAAAUAAAAUCUGAAACUCUUUAUCCCGGUCCGUGUAACGAACCGGGACUAAAGGGCCUGCCCCUGAGCGUGCUACGAGACGUCCACGUGGAGCACCUUUAGUCCCAACUUGGAACAGGGCCGGGACUAAAGGUUAGACCUUUAGUCCCGCCCUUUUAGUCCCGGUUGGUGAACCGGGACUAAAGCCCCUUACCGAUCGGGGCUAAAGACCCCGUCCCCCUAGUGGUGGCCAUAGAAUAUGGCAGCGGGCCGUAGAGACGGGUCACCAUGUUGUGCAUUUGGGAAUGCGCCCACUAUGUGCUUUGGGGGACGAAAAUAAAUCUAGGCAACCGGCGUGAUCCAAUAAGCCUGCGGGUCUCAAUCGUACGGAUGUGCGGCUACCGGCCAAAAGUUGGACGGUUUGACUAACGUUGUGGAUCACCACCACUACCGUACUACCACUCUCGCAAGGUACUAGAUAGUCGUUAGAUUAGAUAGGUUGGCAGUUCAUCAAUUAGCCACCCCCCUAAACACUGCCUCUGCCUUACUACUUUGUGUGGUAACUCCCUUUUUCUACUAUGUUUUUUUCCUUUUUCACAAAUACGCAAAGCUUGCGUAUCAUUUGAUUGAUAAAAGGAAUAUAAUGAAUACGGAUUGGAUACAUCAUCACAUGACACGAACCUAGGCAGCCAUGAACAUGGUGCAUGGAGGGAAACAAGGGAUACUGGGUCCAAUCAAGGGACGCAGCACAGCUGGACCUACGAAACCUAAACCAAGAGCGGCAACGCUGAACCAGUGAUGUUGGUAGAGCCAAAGUCAGGGACACUGCGGGCAAGCAAGAUAGCGCCUUCAAAUACGAAGACGACGUCGAGACGCCAUGGCCAUCCCGUUCGGGGAACCUAGGGUUUCCCCUGAGCACGAGGUGGGGAUCAGCUGAGGGCCUUGACAAUGCCUUCAAGAAGGGAGUGACAUCCGCAUGUGCGGCCGCUGCCACCACGGGCAAACCGGGCAGGUAUUUCGUUUGUUGACAUCCGCAGGGCUGGGGGCUGAAAGACCAUUAGUCCUGGUUCAAACGAAAACUGGGACCAAUGUCAGGCAUUGGUUCCGGCUCGGUUUGUCGGGGCAUUGGUUCCGGUUUGGUUCACCUCAUUAGUCCCGGUUCAGGGCAAAACCCGGGAGUAAAGAUCCAGCGACUGUCACGUGGCGUGCCGCGGAGCAUUAGUCCCGGUUUGUGAAAAAAACCGGGACUAAACGGUAGGCUAUUAGUCUCGGUUUUAGGCAAAAACCGGGACUAAAGUGUUGCCUAUAUAAACCAUCGCCCCUCCCACCCUCUUCUCUGUUUUUUGGCUGUUGAGGUGUGUCAUGCCAUGCUCUUGUCACUCUAGUUCAUGCACAUGAGGUGUUCAAUGAAAUGCCCGACCCACACUACUUAAGCUUUCUCCUCUCCAAGCUCGACCUCCAAGCUCCAUUUUCCUUAAUAUUUGUCUAGGUUUGAACGUGCACCAACUCUACAAGUGUUUUCAAAGAAUAACUACUUCAUCCUUUCAUCUGUCACUGCUAGUUUAGCUCAUUUCAAAUGCUCAAACUAACUUCUUAGAGUCUGCACAUGUGUAGGGUGUCGUCCCGUGCCCGUCCUCAUCGUCGUCGAUCGCCCCGCGCCGAUCUCGUCGCGAGCACCACCAUGGUGAGCCUCUUGUUACUAUCUUCUUUUUAAAAGAAAAAAAUUCUUACUUGUCUGAUUUAAAUACAUACUUGUAUAAAUUACUUACUUUCAUUAAAAAAAAUAUUAUAUAGUGCGAUGGUUUUGGUAUCCGCCUUCAUCGGCCCUCGUCGUGUCUAUGAUUCGGAUGUGGUAUAUAUUAUCUUUUAUAACUAUUUGUUUUAUUUAGUGUUUAUGACAAUUAUGACGACCAACCUGAUAUAUAUUUUUUAAUCUAGGAGGUAUGUGAACCGGAAAUUCCAACCCACAUAGAAAUUCUUGUCGAGAAGUUAAAUUUGGUUGAAAAAGAAAACAAAUACUUGAGAGAGAUUGUCCGUUUUAUACACGAAGUGCAUCCAGUUUUUGUCGAAACCCUCUCAACUUUUUAACACAUGCAAUGUGGGUGAAAUGAUAAUAGCAUGUCAACUUUUCACAUUUUUAAAGUUCAUUUGUAGUGCUUUUCAAUUUCAAGGUCAACUAGCUCAAAAUAAAAUAAGUAAAUGCACGAAAAAUACCAAAUGAAGUCAGAAAUUGUUGAAAAUUUAUGAUGUGCCUUUGAAUGGUGCAUUUUGAACACACAAAAAGUAUGGAGUUCAAAUAAGUUCAAAAAAAUGAAAUCCCUAUGUAACAGAUGAGUUCUCGUUCGAAACCCUCAUACUUCGAGAGAGAUUGUCCGUUUUGUACACGAAGUGCAUCCAGUUUUUGUCGAAACACUCUCAACUUUUUAGGACAUGCUAUGAGGGUGAAAAUGAUGAUACCAUUCCAACUUUCAACAUUUUCAGAAUUCAUUAGUGGUGCUUUUCAAUUUCAGGGUCAACUAGCUUAAAAAAAUAAGUAAAUGCACGAAAAAUAACAAAUGAAGUCAGAAAUUGUUGGAAUUUUGUGAUAUGCCUUUUAAUGGUGCAUUUUGAACACACAAAAAGUAUGGAGUUCAAAUAAGUUCGAAAAAAUGAAAUCCCUUUGUAACAGAUGAGUUCUCGUUCGAAACCCUAGUACUUCGAGAGAGAUUGUUCGUUUUGUACACUCAUGGGGUUAUAGUCCUAGGGUAGGGUCAUAGGCCUGCCCCAUGGGUCCUACCCAAGGACUACCCUUCAUAAGGGAUAAGGCCCUUAGUCAGUUUCGACUAAAUUAAGGACUUCCCAUCAUCCAGUCGGUGACGAAUCCUCCAUCAUCCAGUCAGAGAUGAGCAUUCAGAGCGUAUCAAACUUACCGACUGGAUUCCACUCUGUACAUCGUAACCCCCCUGGAGGGCAACGGUCAUACGUUUCCACGUACCUUUAUUAGCAUUUAAGACAUACAUUACCUGUAACGUAGGCAUUUAUUCGCCACUAUUCCACCCCUGUGCACCGAACCGUUGUGAAGGGUAGCGCACUUUAUAUAAGCCGCCCUUCCCCACUGGUGCAGGGGUUAGCAAUUCACUGUAAUCCAUAUUCCAUUCGACAACAAGCUCCCAAGAGCACUGAGACGUAGGGCUUUUACCUCCACCGUAGAGGGGCCUGAACUCAUACAACAUCGCCGUAGCUAAGGCUCUGUCCAUCCUUUCGUACCCUACACAUUUACUGUCAGACUUAUACCAACGACAGUUGGCACCCACCUUGGGGCAGGCGUCUAAGCGACUUUCGGUGAGUUUGCAACUACAUCUUUUCAUCAUGUCGUCCGGUGGAGAUAUGAGCACGGGUCACGAGAUCUUUUUCGGCGCUCUCUCCUUCAUCGUCGACGAUUCGGCAUGCCUUCGGGACGCCCCUCUCGACGUCGAGGCGCUCCCCAGUCGCGGGGCUACGUACUUCCGUGCCGGCACCCGCGGUAUUCUUCUUCUCUAGCAGUUGGCUCCGGUGUCGACCUACGCCGCCGUCGCGCGCCGCAACAAGCGGUCCCACCGUCCGCGGCUCCAGCGUUGGGUGCAACACGCCCAGGCGCGCCAGAACGCGUCCUCACAAGUGGCGGUCCUAGAGUCGGUUGUGGUUGCGCCGCCGUCCUAGCGCUUGGACUCAGUUCCGGCUGAGUUUCCUUCCGAGUACUUGGGUCGUGGGCCUGCAGCUGAAGUGCACAUGGCCAACUCCCAUGAAAGUCCCCGCCAAACUGGCCGGAACGAGCACGAGGUCGGCGAAACAUCCGGCGCUCGCCGUCAGCCCCGCCGUUCUGCCAGUCGGCACACUCUGCAGAGCAACGUGGAGGUGUUCCGCACACCCGUCCUCAACCUGGCUGCCGCCGCCAAGAUAGCCGAUUCUCUCCAGCCGACUGAUUCAGAGGCUGGCACAGGGAUCGAGCAAAUCUGUGCCCUGCUGCACACGGCACAGCAGCAAAAUUCGGCGGUCUCCCAGUCACACAACAGGAUUCACAAUAGUUCUGUUCACGCGAACACGCAUCGGUCAGUUCACAGCCCCGGUUCUCAUCAGCGACACAGGGAAGGCAGCCAUUCCAUGAAUCCCGAAGAUCGUCGCCGCUCACGCACCCCUCCGUGGGGUGGGCCCUACGGGCCCCGACAUCAUGAUGAUCGGCGUUCAGUCGGUGACACUUAUGAUCCAAGGCCCGAUGCGAGAGGGCAUAUCGCCCAGAGGAGGGUCGACAGGGGCCGAGCCCACCGCGAUGGUCACGAUAUGGACCGUCCGAGUGGAAACAGGACCAUCGUCUCUGGUACCGAGUGUUUCAGUCGAGCCAUCCGUUCGGCUGACAUCCCUUCCAACUUCCCAUUGGCGACGGGGAUCAGCAAGUUUACAGGAGAAUCCAAGCCAGAAACGUGGUUGGACGACUACCGAGUGGCAGUCCAGAUCGGAGGAGGGGACGACCACGUCGCCAUGAAACACCUCCCUCUGAUGCUCGACGGCUCGGCACGAGCGUGGCUGAACCAGUUGGCUCCCUCAAGCAUCUACAACUGGGCAGAUCUGGCCCGAGUCUUCAUCAGUACCUUCGAAGGGACGUGCAAACGCCCUGCUGGUCUCGUGGAGCUCCAGCACUGUGUCCAGAAGCAGAAUGAGCCCCUGCGCGAUUUCAUUCAGCGUUGGACGACCCUCUACCACACGGUGGAGAACGUCACAGAGCACUAAGCAGUCUGCGCCUUCAAGGCAGGCGUGCGGUACAGAUAUCUGUACCUGAAGUUCGGUCGAACAGGCGACAUCUCCAUGAGUAAGAUGAUGGAGAUAGCGGCACGCUAUGCAAAUGGCGAAGAAGAGGACCGCAUUCAUAGCGGCAAGCACAAAGCAGUCGCCGAUGGAGAUGGGAAUAGCACUCGGAAGCAGAAGCAGAAAGCUCCGUCUACUCCGCAGGCAGAUGCCGCAGCUGUUACCAAUGCCAAGUUCAAGGUCAAGGGGAAGGCUCAGUUCACCCCCAAGAAGAAGCAGUUCGGAAACCCCAUCCUGGACCAGCCAUGUCCAAUUCACACGAAGAUGGAUGAAGAGGGCAACGCCAUAUAUCCUAAGCAUACCACUCGGCAAUGUCGCCUCCUGAUCCAGGGGUUCGGCGAAGGACAACCGAGUGAAAAGGACAAUGAACAGGAUGAGGAGGACAAGGAGGAUCCGUUCCCCCAAGUCCAUGCAACACUGAUGGUUUUUGCUAACGUUGAGAGCAAGAGUCGACUGAAGCUGGUGAACAGGCAGGUGAACAUGGCCACGCCGACCAACCCCACGUUCCUCAAAUGGUCUCAGACUGCGAUCACCUUUGACCAGUCGGAUCAUCCAGCACACGUACCCACCCCAGGGAGGCAGGCUCUGGUCGUCGACCCGGUGGUGGAAGGAGUUUGACUGCGCAAAGUCCUCAUGGAUGGCGGUAGUGGCUUGAACAUCAUGUACGCUGACACUCUCAAGGGGAUGGAGUCGUCCCUGGACGAAAGGCCAAGUCACUCGGCCAGAUCGCGUUGGAUGUCGUCUUCGGCUCCGACAAGAAUUUCCGCAAGGAAAAGCUGACGUUCGAGGUGGUGGACUUCCAGAGUGCGUACCACGCAAUUCUGGGCCGCCCGGCGUAUGCGCGUUUCAUGGCCCGCCCAUGUUACGUGUACCUGAAGCUAAAGAUGCCAGGCCCAAAAGGUGUGAUCACUAUCACAGGCAAUCGGGAGCGGGCCGAGGAGUGUCUGCAGCAGGGAUCGAGGAUCGCCGAUCAGCAGAUGGCUGUCCUCGAGCUUGACGAGUACAAGAAGACAGUCAACCCCACUGACUUGAUGCGUUCGAAGAAGCCAGCUUCGGAGUCCGCAUUCCAGUCGGUGGGAGAAACGAAGAAGGUCAGCAUCCACCCGACGGACGUCACCGCUGCCCUGACAAACAUCUCCACCACCCUCGAUCCUAAAUAGGAAGCCAAGCUCAUCCAAUUCCUCCGUGAGAACUAGGACAUCUUCGCAUGGAAGCCCGCUGACAUGCCAGGUGUACCCAGGGAGUUGGCUGAGCACUGACUGCAUGUGGAUCUCACCGCUCGGCCUGUCCGAGAACGCCUGCGUCGGUCCGCCGCGCACAAAAGGAAGGCAAUCGGAGAAGAGGUGGCUAAACUUUUGGCAGCCAACUUCAUUCGCGAGGUACACCACUCCAAGUGGCUCGCCAAUGUUGUCAUGGUGCUCAAGAAAGACAAGUCGCUCCGAAUGUGCAUCGACUUCAAGCAUCUCAAUAAGGUCUGCCCGAAAGACCAUUUUCCGCUCCCCCGCAUCGAUCAAAUUGUCGAUUCGACUGCGGGUUGCGAGCGGUUGUCAUUCCUUGAUGCCUACUCGGGCUAUCAUCAGAUCCGUCUGUAUGGCCCCGAUGAAUUAAAAACAGCCUUCAUCACCCCAUUCGGGUGCUUCUGCUACAUCACUAUGCCAUUUGGUUUGAAGAAUGCAGGAGCAACCUUUAUGCGCAUGAUCCAAAAAUGCCUCCUCGACCAGAUCGGUCGGAAUGUGGAGGCGUAUAUGGAUGAUAUCAUAGUCAAGUCACGCAAAGGUUCCGACCGGCUGAGUGACUUGGCAGAAACAUUCGCCAACCUUCGUAGGUACGAUAUCAAGCUCAACCUAGCCAAGUGUUCAUUCGGCGUUCCUAGCGGAAAGUUACUCGGUUUCUUUGUUUUCGAAUGAGGGAUCGAUGUCAACCUCGAAAAGAUCGGGACCAACGUCCGAAUGGAGCGGCCGUUCAGAAUACACGAUGUUCAAAGACUCACAGGUUGCCUAGCGGCUUUGAGCAGGUUUAUCAGUCGACUCGGCGAGAAGGCACUUCCUCUGUACCGACUCAUGAAGAAAUCAGAUACUUUCGAAUGGACAGACGAAGCCCAAAUCGCAUUCGACGACCUCCAAGUCCUACUUUCCACCCAGCCGGUUCUUACUGCUCCGCUCAGUAAAUAACCCCUUCUUUUGUACAUCGCGGCUACAAAUCAAGUCGUCAGCACUGUUCUCACAGUCGAACGGGAAGAAGAAGGCAAAGCGUACAAGGUUCAGCGGCCAGUGUAUUAUGUCUCCGAAGUCCUGACUCCUUCCAAGCAGAGGUAUCCCCAUUAUCAAAAACUUAUCUACGGGAUUUACAUGACUGCGAAGAAGGUGGCUCAUUAUUUUCAAGACCACUCGGUGUCCAUCGUUUCUGAUGCUCCGUUGUCGGAAAUCCUACACAAUCGGGACGCAUCGGGCCGAGUGGCGAAGUGGGCAAUGGAGAUGUUAUACUGCGACAUCAAGUUCGAGGCCAAGAAAGCUAUAAAGUCUCAAGCUCUGGUUGGCUUCAUAGCAGAAUGGGUAGAACAACAGCAACCGACCCACAUCUACUCGGCUCAUUGGACAAUGUUCUUCGAUGGGUCCAAGAUGUUGAAUGGCUCCGGCGCUGGCGUUGUGAUCAUAUCGCCAAAAGGUGACAAACUCAAGUAUGUGUUGCAAAUACACUUUGAUUCCUCCAACAAUGAGGCAGAGUAUGAAGCUCUCCUUUAUGGACUGUGCAUGUCCAUCGCACUCGGCGUCCGUCGCUUGAUGGUCUAUGGCGAUUCGGAUUUGGUGGUUAAUCAAGUGAUGAAGGAGUGGGACGUCAGGAAUCCCACCAUGACUACAUACUGCAAUGCGGUGAGGAAGCUCGAGAAAAAGUUUGAAGGUCUGGAACUGCACCAUGUUCCGCGACUGAAAAACGAAGCAGCUGAUGAAUUAGCGAAACUCGAAUCCACUCGGAGACCAGUCCCGAGUGACGUCUGCCUCGAGCACCUUCACCUUCCCUCAGUUAAAGAAGAUCCUUUCACGGAGGAACCAGUACAACCAAAGAGCUCGACAGAUCCGACUGAAGUCGAGGUCCCCGCUGUGGUUGAUUUGAUCAUGGAGAUUCUUGCUAUCAUCCCCGAUUGGACUGUGCCGUUCAUUGCAUACAUCCUGAGGCAAGAAUUACCAGAAGACGAAGUCCAAGCCAGACAGAUCAUCCGCAGGUGAAAAUCGUUCACUGUCAUUGAUGGCCAGUUGUAAAAGGAAAGCGUUUCAGGCGUCCUUCAACGAUGCAUCUCCCGUGAGGAGGGACAGUUAAUCGUGGAAGAAAUUCACUCGGGAACCUGCGGUCAUCACGCCUCCUCAAGGGCAAUCGUCGCCAAAGCAUUCCGAGCUGGCUUCUUCUGGCUGCAGGCGAAUGAAAUGGAGAAAGAUAUGGUCGACCGAUGUGAAGGCUGUCAGUUCUACUCUAACAAGUUCCACAAACCAACAUCUGCGUUGAAGAUAAUCCCUCUUGUUUGACCGUUUGCAGUAUGGGGAUUAGAUACAGUCGGUCCAUUCAGAACAGGCGAAGGGGGAUUCACACAUCUGUUGGUGGCAGUCGACAAGUUCACAAAGUGGAUUGAAGCCAAGCCCAUCAAAAAGCUCGACGCCCUUACGGCCAUCAAGUUUGUCACGGACAUCAUCUCCAGAUUCGGGGUACCUCACAGCAUAAUCACUGACAAUGUAACAAACUUUGACUCGGACAAAUUAAAAGGUUUCUGUACAAGCCAAGGUAUCCGAGUGGAUUUUGCAUCUGUGGCACAUCCCCAAACAAACGGGCAAGCAGAGCGGGCGAAUGGACUUAUUCUGCAAGGUUUGAAGCCUCGACUCCUGCGAUAAGUGGGACAUGCCGCCGGCGCAUGGGUCACCGAGCUACCUUCGGUGCUUUGGGGUCUCCGCACAACCCCAAGUAGAUCUACAGGGCGAUCCCCGUUCUUCCUCGUUUACGGAGCAGAGGCAGUCCUUCUGAGUGACUUGCUUCACAACGCUGCACGAGUUGAACUCUUCUCCGAAGCUGAAGCAGAACAAGCAAGGCAAGACGGAGUGGAUCUUCUAGAGGAGGAGCGCGAGAUGGCACUGACUCGCUCAACCAUUUAUUAACAAGACCUGCGGCGUUUUCACGCGCGACACGUCAGGAGUCGUACAUUCGAAGCAGGCGACCUGGUGCUCCGAGUGGAUCAGCAGAGACCUCACAAGUUGGCUCCCGUCUGGGAAGGACCCUUCAUCAUCUCCAAGGUGCUGAACAACGGAGUAUAUCGACUCUACAACCUCGACAGGGAAACGGACAAGCCGCGAGCAUGGAACGGAGAUCUCCUGAAGCGCUUCUACACGUGACCGUCGACUGAAGCAAUGUAAAGAACAAGUAUCGUUGAAGUAAUACAAAGCAGAUUGAGUUUUUGCAGGUUCAAAAUUCUUCCGCGGUCGCAGACUCCGGUCUCAAAAAAAACGUCGCACUCGGGGACUUAGCUGUGAUCAAGAAUCGCCUAAGUACAAACUUUCUCCGAGUGUGCACUAAACGUCGCACUCGGGGACUUAGCUGCGAUCAAGAAUCGCCUAAGUACAAACUUUCUCCGAGUGUGCACUAAACGUCGCACUCGGGGACUUAGCUGCGAUCAAGAAUCGCCUAAGUACAAACUUUCUCCGAGUGUGCACUAAACGUCGCACUCGGGGACUUAGACGCGAUCCAGAAUCGCCUAAGUACUAACUUUCUCCGAAUGUGCACUAAAACGCCGCACUCGGGGACUUGUCUGCGAUCAAGAAUCGCCUAAAUAGAAAGCUUCCUUCGAGUGUAUCUUACAGAUCCACUCGGAGGCUUAGUAGACACUCAUUGAAGCUCAUGUAGAUGUCAGGACAACUGACAAUUACAUGAGUAGCAGAACCUCAUUGAGGCUCAUGUAGAUGUCAAGACAACUGACAAUUACAUGAGUAACAACUCGCUCCGAGUACGACCUUACAGUCGCACUCGAAGACUUAGCCGCGAUCACGAAUCGCCUAAGUACACAAUUGCCUUCGAGUGUAUCCUACAGAUCCACUCGGAGACUCAGCAGACCCUCAGUGAGGCUCAUGCAGAUGUUAAGACAACUGACAAUUACAUGCUCCGCAUGUUUGCCAUUGGCUUCACCAAGAAACGCCAAACAGAAACCACGAGCCAAAAUCGUGUCAACAACUCAUUGGUAAAGGAAGAACAAAAGAUUCGAUUCAAAUUCAAAGUUCGUCUAAAUAUAGUUGGUUCGGUGUAGAUCAAGCUUAUCCACACCGAACCACGAAUGUGACCGCCAACAGCAGUGGCCAAAGUUUCAUACAACUAACACUCGGCAUACCGAGGUAAAAGUUUUCUCAAGAGUCAUCCGGACUGGCACUGGGACUGGCAGGCUCCACGAAAGUGUCGAGGACGAUCCCGUCUGCGAUGCGAGUGGCGCUCUCAAGGAAAGUCUCCAUGAAAUCUUCGAAUCGAAGCUUUUUGGUGCUGGCGACUUGCAACGCCUUCAGCUUCUCUUCGCGAGCCUCCUUGCAGUGCUCUUGGACCAGCGACAGCGCCACGUCUGCACCACAGCGAGCCGCAGACUUCUUCCACGCCUGCACUCGGUUCGGGACCUCCUCCAGCCGAGUCAUCAACCCUUCCAUCUCUUGCCGAGACUCGUCUUCGGGCCACAGCUCUUUGUCGAUUGGGCCGACAACCUCUCUCAGUCGACCGAUGAAAGGUCCCACUUUGCCCAAGCGAAUCUGCGCUCGGAGCAUGUCUCGAUUGGCAUCCUCGCAGAGUGGAACGUUCAGAAGAACCGACCGCUCAACGUCAGCUGCUUCAGCCUCAGCGUCCAUGCAAAAAUCUGCAAAGACAAGACGAGCAAAAAGUAAGCGCAGAAUGAAAUACACAGUCAAGAAGCACUCGGAAAAACAGAACUUACCACCGAGAAGCGCAAUCAUCUUCCUUGCCCAGUCACUGACGUACUUCUCCUGUGCUAUGCACCGCUUGUUCAUCACCUGCAUCUGUCCCAUCAGCUCGGUUCUUUGUUUCCCCAUUUUCUCCAUUUCGGCCACCAAUGCCUUGUUUGCCUCACGGGACUCCUCCAAGGACUUCUCUCGUUCAGCCAGAACACCCUUCAUACCAGCCAAGGCAAGCAUUGCUGCAUCCAGUUCCGCAGCAAACUGAAUCUUUUCAGCCUUCAGAGUGUCAUAUGCUGAUCCCAUCUCGCAAGUCUUCUGCAAGUCAACGCCAAGAGACGAUCAGAAAAAUUCAACAAGGACAACAAUAAAAACUCGAAGUUCUUCAGACCCCUGCCGACGCAAGCAGUCGACAGCGGUCUCGGGGACUACACCCAGUGGGUUCACUGAGAGUGACCCCACUGGCAUGAACCUCAAACAGGUCCGCCCUAUUGAGAUGCAUAACAAAAAACAAGCCUAUGAGGCUACUACUACCCGACCUGAGUAAAAUUACUCUCGGGGACUAAUCCAGUAGGUGCACUCGGAGUUCCCCCACCGGUAACAUUCGAACAUAUUAGUUUUGAUCUGAUCAACUUAAAGAAAAUGUAUAUAAAGACAACUGCCGGUGCAAGCACUCGACAAAAGUCUCGAGGACUACACCCACUGGGUUCACUCUUAAACACCCAGUGGGUUACAAGGGAAAGCAAAUACUUACUAGCCCACUUACUCGUAUAUUGUCCCGGAGUUCCAAGCUUCGCUUGUACACAGACGCGAUGGAGUCGUACGCUCUCUUGGCAUCACCCGCCAUCAACACCGCCUGCACCAUGGCCCCCUUGGCAGCUCCCACCUGAUCUUCCGGAAGGCGCCGGGCGUCGAACUGGACGGUCGACGGACCUGGCACCACAAGAGACUCCUUCGGCAUCCCAAGUCCUGCUCCAGUCGGUUCAGCAACGAUGAGCGCCGUGUCAGUCGACGGCAUCGUCUCGGUUGGCGGCGCGUCCAUGGCGGGAGUAGUAACAUACGGAACAACCUCAAGGACAGGCGCCGCAGCUUGCUCGGACCUCUUCUGAUCGUCCUCCUCCACAUGGAUCACCUCUGAAGGAAGCCCGACCAAACGACGUGAGACCACAGGAAAAAGGACAAGACCAAAGCUAGAAUUCGUGAAACAAUAAUGUAAGCUCUCGGAGUCGCCACGACGUACCUUGCUGGGAUGUGACAACGUUGUCCGUAUCCAUGGGAUCGUCCCCCUGGCGUGGCAGAGAAGUGGCGGAGGUGGCAGCUCUGUCGAGUAAAAUUCACUCGCCAAUAAGCAUGAGUUCAAUCAAAUACUGGAAGAAGAUAGAAGAACAAUACACUUACGCUGAGGCAAUGGGAACAACGAUCCUCAUCCGCGGCAAAGCCUUCCGAGGUUUGGAUCCACUCGGUUUGGCCACCUUAGAGGGCUGACCCGCGGGCUCAGCAGCAGAGUCCCUGGUCCUCUUGGUGCUCCGAGCACUCGGAACCACGGGAGAAGCUGGCAAGGCACUCGGAACCACAGGAGGAGCUGGCGGGGCACUCGAGGCCGCUGGAGGAGCCGACGGAGCCACGGGUUCGUGGCGGCGUUUAGUUCGAGGCUCUCGUGGUGGGGGUGGUGAGUUCUGCUCCUCAUCUUCCCCCUCUUCUUCUUCGGACUCCUCCUCUGU